Molecule: long non-coding RNA, 65008 nt
Filed under: Gossypium raimondii (Peruvian cotton)
Lineage: Eukaryota; Viridiplantae; Streptophyta; Magnoliopsida; Malvales; Malvaceae
Description: long non-coding RNA (GRAI_LNC009776)
Rfam family: MIR7486 microRNA precursor family (bases 46696-46782)
Source: RNAcentral
GGGUAACGAUACUGAGUGCUACUGCUAUCCUGGUUUCAUAUUUAUCGACGAGAAUGCCAAAUCCCUGGGUUGCUCUCAGAAUUUCACUGUAGAUGGGUGCGAGGCUAGGAGAGAUGUAGUGAUACACCACAAUAGCACUACCUUAGACAAUGUGUCUUGGGCUGGUAAUCUUUAUUCUGUGAAGCGUAAUCUGGAGAAGGAAGACUGUAAGAAAGCUUGCGAGGAUGAUUGCUCCUGUGGUGGAGCUCUCUAUAGCCCAAAUCACUGUAGCAUGUAUUCAUUACCGCUUAAAUAUGGUAGAAAACAUGUAAAUAUAACAACCACAGCCUUCAUCAAGUUGAUUCCGGGUAGCACCAUUAGCCCCCCACCUGAAAAAAGUCAAAUAUUGAUAAGCGAAGGAAACGAAAGCCUCAUUUUAACUAUGGGAUUAAGUUUGGGUUCCGUUGCAAGUUUGUGUUUUGUGAUUGCAAUAUGUAGCUUCUUGUUAUACAGGCAUCGAGUCCAAAGUUAUGAGAAGCUUUUAGACAGUAAAAGUUCAGGAUUUGCCGAGCAAUUUACACUACGAUCAUUCACUUUCAAUGAGCUAGAUGAAGCAACACAAGGUUUCCAAGAUGAGUUGGGUAGAGGCUCAUUUGGAGCGGUUUAUAAAGGAACUUUGCCAGGGGAUGGUAAAAGUAUUGCUGUUAAGAGAUUAGGAAUGGUUAAGGAAGGAGAAAGGGAUCAGUUUCGAACUGAGAUGACAGCCAUUGGAAGAAAUAACCACAGGAACUUGGUCUGAUUGCUUGGAUUUUGUGUGGAAGGUUCAAGGAAGUUCCUUGUUUAUGAGUACAUGAGCAAUGGCUCACUAGCGGAUUUUCUAUUCAACAGGAAUGAACGCCCGGUUUGGAAACAGAGAGCCAGAAUAGCGUUGGACGUGGCUAAAGGUAUCCUUUAUUUACAUGAAGAGUGUGAGGUGAGUAUCAUCCAUUGCAACAUCAAGCCCUGCAACAUACUCUUGGAUGAUUCAUUGACUGCAAAGAUUUCGGAUUUCGGAUUGGCAAAGCUAUUGAGGCCUAAUCAAAGAAGCAGUACAAGUGGAGCAGCAUGGUACUCGGCACCUGAAUGGCAAAACAGUGCAGUGUUAUCGGUAAAAGUUGAUGUAUACAGUUUCGGAGUGAUACUGUUGGAGAUCAUAUGUUGCAGAAGCAACAUAGAAGUAGAAGGUCGCAGUGCAGAUGAGAUACUGCUUUCAACAUUUGUAUACAAUUGCUUUGUUGGGGGAGAGUUGAAUAAGCUCGUGGAAGGUGAAGAAGAAGUGGACAUGAAAAUGGUGGAAAGGUUUGUGAAGGUGGGGCUUUGGUGCAUUCAAGAUGAUCCAAAUUUGCGUCCACUCGUGAAGAAUGUGAUCUUGAUGCUAGAAGGAACAAUGAAUGUACCGAUCCCUCCAUUUCCAUCACUUCCCCAUGUUACUAAUUAGUGUUCUUAACUUUGAAGUUGGGUUUAUUUUAAUUAUGUUUUUCAUGUAAUUAAUAAUAAUUAGAGGAGUAAUUUUUAAAAUAAAAUUUUGGAAACUAUCUGGUUGUUACAAAGAAGGACAUUUUAUGUUCUAUGCAUCAAUUAUCAUGUGAUAAGUGAAAGGUCUCUAAUCUAUACAUCAAUUAUAAUAGUAAAAGUAUACAUGGUUUUUUCCUUUGUUUUCACUUAUGUGUUGUGUUGAAAAAUUAAAUGUUAACAUCUUAAAUACUUACAAAAUCAAUUUGGUAUGUUUGUUAAAUUUAAGUAUAUGAUUAAAUUGUUUGAUAAAGGAUAGCUUUCUAAUAAUUUUAGAGCUCUAAACAAAAUCUUUAAAAAAAUAUCUUUCGGUCUCACUUCCCUAGAUAUUCCUUUAGGGGCAUUACUUCCUAACUUUUUAGGCCUACUCAAUUUAGUUCAAUUUAAUACAAUUUAGUCCUUUUUUCCAAAAAUUAGCUUACCUACAUUUCCAUCAACCAAAUCCUUUUUUAGGUUUAGCUAUUUAUGCUGCAAAUAAAGAGAAUGGACAUGGAAAUGAAAAGCAAACAAAACAUUGAAGUUUAAGAAAAAAAUAUGAAAGUUUGGAUUUUUUUUAUGCAAGAAAACUUAAAGAACAUAAAACUAAAGGCAUUCAACAAGGAAAUCUAAAGCAAUAAACAGAAAAGGAAUAAACUUUAACAAAUUUAAAGUAAAAGAAACUAAAAUGCAUUAAACUAAAGUUAGAAAUGUCUUACAACCAAGGUAUAGGGAUUGGAAGUGCAAAUAAACUUAAGCUAUAGUAAUAACUAACUAACUUAACUACCACUAAGAACAACUAAGAACAACUAAAAUAAGAAAGAAAAUUGUUGGGAAAUGUAAAAUCUACUACUAAAGAAAUGAAAAUAAAAAAAACCCUAGAAAAAGAAGAAGAAAAGCUAAGAGAAAACCUAGAGAAAACUAAGGUAAAACUAAACUAAUGUGUGUCUCCUCUCCUCAGCCAAAUUUGGUUAUUUUAGGCUGAAUGCUAAUAGUACUUCGUUGCCAAAAUUGCCCUUACGUGGGCCUUGGAUGAUUGGUGGAUCGGGUAGAAAUAGACUACUCUUUUUAUCUAAUUUUGUCCCCCUCACAAUGUUGGUGUCACGAUACCUAGAAGAGGAUAUCUCGAUUCCUCAAGUAGUUUCGAACCUUGGGGUCUUCUUUGAGGGUGGAUAUCGUGAUACCACUGAAAAGUGGUCUCCCUUCUUUCCAUACUGUUGGAGGUAUUGUGAUUUCAAGGUAUGAAAAUAGCGAUACAUUUUCUUUUGGUGUCAUUUUCGCUCGUUUUCAACCUCAGCACGUUCUUACACCACUCAACCAAAUGUUAGGUCCCCCAAUAGUACUAUUGGCCAAAUUUGAUCAUAAAAUGAGUAAAAAUAAGGCAUUUACACUUAUCAACUUAAAAUAUAAAAAGUAAGAAAAAGUAUGAAAAAAAAUGCUAUUUUGCUUGAGAAUAAGGUCCUUAAGUAUAUUGGUAAAGUCUAAUUUGUCAUAUCAAAUUAUGGUAGAUAAAACUCCCCCACAUAUAACUCUUUGCUUGUACUUAAGCAAACCAAACAUGCAAAAGGAAAGACGACUGUUGGACUAAAUCAGACAAUUAAGUCAUAUAUCUAUAAAACAUCAAACUCGUACGGGAACUGCCUCAUAUGCAACUUAAGAGUGAUAUCUAGAUAACUUGUUUAUUCUUAAUACAAACAUAAUUAGUUCACUAAGUUAUAAUGUUAAUAGAUGUAGAGGCAAUGAAAAUUAAAAAAUGUACAAGUGUUAUCCAUCAAAAUAAAUUAUGCGAAUUGCUCAUAGAUAUUUUAAAAAAAUGGAUCAUAUUCGUUCAAACAAAUGUAGACUAUUUACGAAUUAUUGUAUUGGUGACAUAGAUUAUGUUAAGUAAUGCUUUUUAGAAGUACUUUUGAUAUGAAAAAUACUUUUGCAGCAAAAAGAACAAGAUAUUUUUUGCUGAAAUUUUUGGCUUUUCAAAAGUACUUUGAAAAAAAAAAAGAGAAACUAAAAUUUUUAGCUUUUCUUAUUCCAAAAACAUUUUUAGUGCUUAAUUAUUUUUUCACUUCUCCAAUAAUAUGGUACUUUCUCUCUUUUUUUCUCUGGUGCUUAAUUACAAAAAUGUUAAAAUCAUUAAUUAAAAAUAAAAAUAUAUUUUUAAAAUAAUACAAAUGUGUUAAUAUCUAAUUACAAAUAUUUAAUGGUUAUAUUUAAAUAUUUAAAAUAUAAUUUAUAUAUUCUACUAAAAUUUUAUAAAUAAAUAAUAUUUAUUGUUUAAAAUAUUUAAAAUUUAUAUUUCAUAUAUUAAAAUAUUAAUAAUAAGUUAUAAUAGUUUUUUAUUCUUACUAGAAUAUAAUAAUAUUAACUAAUUUGAACAUUACUUAAAUGCAUAUUUGUUACUUUAUAAUAUUAUGUCUAAAAUAAAUAUUUUAUUUCUCGAAAGUAUUUUUUCAUAACACUUUUUAAAAGUAUUUUUCAAAAUUAUAGCAACUAACCCUAAUUCGGAUCCCAAAGAUCUUCUAAGUUUGUAAUGUUACAAGGCUUAGGACAGUUCAAAAUUCAAAUGGGUUCAAACACUAGAAACGGUUGAGCACAUGACAUUGUUCCCUACUUGCUUCAAAUUCAUUUACAAGCUCACCUCCUUAUUUCUCAUUCUCUUGCCUACCAUAUUUUUCCAAAAUGUUAGAAGGUAUUAUGGCACAAAAUUUAUAAUUGUGAACCUAAAGAUAUUCAUUUUUGAGCUUAAUUUUGAUUUAGCUAUCAUUUUCUUUAUUUUGCACUUUUUCAUUCACCCUUUCUUUUUUAACAUACUAAUUUGCGUAAUCCCUUCAUUUUCUUUUUAUAAAUACAUAUAUCAGAAUUUAUAAACACAAAAUUCUAAGGCGAUAGUACAAUUUCUAAGGAUCUUUAGAAAUUUUGGUAUUUUGUAAUUGAGUCAUUCUAAUUUUUUUUUUCAUAUUAAAAACUUUUUAAAAUUAAAUUGCCAUGAUUAUGUUUAUUAACUAAAAUGAUAUAUAUUUUUUGGAUCCAAAUUGACAUUUUCUAACAAAAAUUAUUAGUGGUAGAAGAAGUGGCAAGAUCAGUUUCAACUAGUUCACGCAUGAAAAUAAAACCUCGGAAAAAGCUUGGGAAACCUACAUUAAUUUUAUCACCAUUUUUCCUUAGAAAUGUUGACAGUCCAUAAAGUUGUCUGUAUGUAUCAAAAUAUAAAAGAAUGUUAUUAGAAAUGUCGGUAUUUGAUUAUACAUUUUAGUACAGGAUUUAGGAAUGAGAUUUUGGUAUAUAAAAAAACCUAAUUAUUUUUCAUGAAAAUAUUGAUAUUCCGUUAGAAAUUUUGAUAUAUAACAAGAUAUAACAAGAUAUGUUUUUAGAAAUUUUAAUAUUUCGGCCGGUUGAGUCAUUAUUCGAUUGACAUACACAAUGUUAUUAAUAUAGGGUUCGAGUGUAUUUAAACGCAUUAUCCUCCUAUUUAUGGUUAGAGAGAGGCUAUGGAUAGUUCAAGCUCACCCUAUUAAGAAUAUUAAUAAGAAAUAAAUAUUAUUAAAUUAUCUUUAUUUAUUUUAAUAGUAUUAUAAAUUUAAUAUAUUUUAUUUAAAUAUUUCAAUUAAUUAACUAAUUUAAUUUUUUUAUUAUAUUAAAUAAAUAACUUAAAAUAAAAUUUAAAUGUAAAAACUAAAAAAUUAAUCAUAAUUAAUUUAAAUGAUUUCAAUAUAAUAUAAAUAAAAUUAAAAUAAUUAAAAUCUAACUAUUAAAAUAAAGGAAAUAACUUAUAUUAGGAUGAUCCUAAAAACUAAGGUUUUUAGGCACCAAUAAAAUUUUGCCACAACAUCACAAUGUAAAGAAAUUAAAUUAUUAUUAUGCUCUCAUCUAUAGAGAAAUUAUCUUAUUAAUCCUUUCCACCACAUUAUUCAUGGUCCCUUUCAACAAUUUUUUUCACGUCACUAACACAUAAUUUUGAUAAUUUUUUAAACACAUAAUUUUGAUAAUUUUUUUACUCUGAACUUAACUCUAGAAUAUUGAACCCUGAACCCUGAACCCUAAACUUGAACCUAUAACCUCAAAUUUUUAAACUCUAAACACAAACCCAAAAUCAUUAAACCUUGAACUCAUAUCAUAAACCUCGAAUAUUUAAACCAUCAACCUAAACUUUGAAUCCUGAAUUCAAAAUUGAACCUCAAACUUUAAAUUUUGAACCCAAACCCUGAAUCUCAAGGUUCAAAAUUUAAGAUUGAAGGAAAAAUAAUUAACAAAAUUAUGUGUCAAUGACAUGAGAAAAUUGCACAAAAAUUACUUCUUUUUUUAAAAUUUGGUUGCAUAAAAAAAAGAAUUUAUGAAAAAGAGAUUAAAAUUUUCAAAAAAAGAUGAUUGUUUAUAAUUAAAAAAUUAAUUAUUUUAAAUAAUUUAAUUUAAUUUAAUUUAAUUUGAAGAAAGUAUUAGAUAUACAAAUAUAUAUAAUAAUAUUUUAUUAUCUUUAAAAUUUAAUGAGGUAAUGUUAUUUUAUUAAUAUUUUAAAAUUAUACUUUUUAGUAUUAUCUAAAAGAAAAAGAGAGAAGUAAACUAAAAAAGGAAAUGCGGUGUUUGCAACUAGGGGUGUUCAUUCGGUUAACCGACCGGUUAACCGACCCGAAAUUACUAUAACCGAAUUAACCGACCUUCCAAAAAUUUUAACCGUUAACCGAACCGAUUUUUUUAAAAAAAAAUUAACCGAACCGAAAUUUUUUUGGGUUAAUAAGGUCGGUUAACCGAAUUAACCGAAAAUUAUGUAUUUUUUAUUUUUGGUUAAAAAUUACCCGAAUUACCCGAAUUAACCGAAUUAACCGAAUUAACGCAAAAUACCCGAAUUACCCGAAUUUUUUUAUUUUUUAUUUUUAAAAUUUAAAAAAUUUAUAAAUUAUUAAAGUAAAUUGGGUUUUAGACUUUAGUAAAUUGGGUUGUCUUUUAGUUUUAGUUUUAUUGGAUUGGGUAAUCGGGUAAACUUUAGUUUUAGUUUUAUUGGGUUGGGUAAUUGAGUUUUGGCUGGGUUGGAUAAUUUUAUUUAUUAAUUUUUUCAGUUAACCGAAAAUUUUUGAUUAACCGACCGGUUUCGAACCGAAUUAACCGUUAACCGAAAAAUCAUAAAAAAAUUAACCGACCCCCGACCGAAAAAAUUCGGUUAACCGACCGAUUAACCAAAUUCGGUCGGUUAACCGAAUUUUUUCGGUUUUACCCGAAUUAUGCACACCCCUAUUCGCAACUACAUCCUCCCUCCCAUUGAAAAGGAAAAAUUAUUAGAUGGAGCCUGGGAGUUCUCACCGCCUAAAUUAUAAGUCUAAUCAAUUGAAGUAAUACACAUUUUUUUUUAAAUUUUUAAUUUUUUUCUCUUAAAAAUUUUAAAUUCAAUUAAAAGUAUUAAAAGUCAAAGAGAAAAAUCUAACUUAGAGAUAAAAUAACGUGUAAUUAUAGAAUUGGAAAUCUUGCUUUAUGUCUACGAUGAUAUUAGACGUAUAGUUUAAGUGGAGAGAAGGAUUUAUGUAAUAAUUUAGUCAGGUUACCUGUCUUUUUCUGCGCAAACCCUGAUUCCAGACCUCGGCCAUUUUUAAUUUGGGUACUUGUAAAAUAAUUUCUUCAUCGGUUCCAAAAAUAGAAGACAGAAAUAAAUACAAUAAUUCCUAUGGCAGCAGUGUGGUCUCUUCUCAUGCUCCUGUCUUCUUUCUUUGUGGCUAGAGGAGUUGAAGACAAGCAUUCAAACGGCACCAUUGGGCUGGGAUAUUCGCUUUCCCCCUUAACUCCACCCACCUCAUUGGCUUCGCCUUCUGGUAGUUUCGCAUUUGGUUUUUACAGUCAAGGCAAUGGCUUUUCAAUUGGAGUUUGGCUGGAGGGCAAUAGAAAGACAGAUAACAAAGUUGUAUGGACAGCAAACCGUGAUGACCCGCCGCUCCAUGCAACUGCUACUCUGACACUAAACGAGAAAGGUUUGCUUCUUUCGAGCGGUGUGAGCGGAGAAAAUAAAGUUAUUUUUUAUCCAAAUGACUCGGCUGUCAGUGUCUUCUCUGCCUCCAUGCUAGAUUCAGGCAAUUUUGUGCUCUACAGCACAGUCAAUCAUACCAUUUGGGAGAGUUUCGAGCAUCCUACAGAUACCCUUUUAGGUGGUCAGGCUACUACUCAGUCGUUGAUCUCCUGUUCUUCAGAAAAUGAUCACUCAUCCGGAAGGUUUCUUCUAGGUAUGCAACCAGAUGGGAAUCUAGUUCUAUACCCUCUAGACGUCAAUUUUGCUGUUACAACUGCCUAUUGGGCCACAAAUACUGAUGGUGUGAAUCGUUCACUCCGAUUAUUUCUUAACUCGACAGGCUUCCUACAACUUAUCAACAACACUGAUUCCUCCAUCUACCUAGAAAUUAAUUCUAGAUUUGUUACAGAGGUGAGCUACAACGAGAACACCACCACCACCAGCAACGACGGUAUCGUUCACAGUGCAAGCCUUGAUGUUGAUGGAAAUUUCCGGUUAUAUACUCAUCAAUUUGAUCCAAGUGGUGGAUUUCGAACUUCCCGAGUGUCGCGUGCGUUGAAGGAUUCCUGUGAAAUUAUAGGCUUUUGUGGUAUCAAUAGCUAUUGCACGUUUAAUGAUGACAGAGCUUACUGUGCAUGCCUUCCCGGCACUGAUUUUAUCGAUCCUCAACGCAAUACCCUCGGCUGCAAGAGAAAUUAUAGUGAAGCACAUUGUAAAGGAGGGAAGGACAAUAUACCCCUUUAUAACAUCACUCAAUUGCAAAAUAUAGAAUGGACUACAGGUAUAUUUUACAGUGAAGAGGUAAUGUCCAUGAGUGCCUGCAGCCAAACAUGCUUGGAAGACUGUAAUUGUGAGGCAGCAAAGUUUAGCGAUGGAGUUUGCAGGAAACAAAAGCUUCCACUAUGGCAUUUGCGACGACGACAAGGUGUGAGUUCCACGGUUUUCUUAAAGAUGGGAAUCAGAAGCCUAGAAGCAGAUGAUGGUACUGUUUCCCAUGAAUUAAAGCCCCAAAUCAAACGGAAAGAUCCGACGCUGAAAAUUCUUCUUUUAACUUUCAGUCUUGUCGCAUGUUCAUGUGCUUUGCUUGCAAUCUCUGGUGUAUUCAUUUUUAAAUUUCGAGUUCUAAGAUACAAAAGGCUGUUGGAAAUUGGAAAUUUGGGCCUAACCGGAGAGCUUACGUUGACGUCGUUUUCAUACAAUGAACUCAAGAGAGCAACGAAUGGGUUUAAAGUAGAGUUGGGUAAGGGAUCCUUUGGAGCAGUCUACAAAGGGUCCUUAAACAGAGGAAGAAAUUUGAUUGCAGUAAAGCGAUUGGAGAAGUUAGUGGAAGAAGGAGAAAGAGAGUUCCAAGCAGAAAUGCGAGCAAUUGGCAGAGCUCACCACAAGAAUUUAGUUCGACUUUUGGGAUACUGUGCUGAGGACUCCAAGAGGGUGUUGGUGUACGAGUACAUGGGCAAUGGCUCCCUUGCUGAUCUACUUUUCAAGUCAAGACAGCGCCCUGAUUGGGAUGAAAGAACAAGAAUAGCCCUGGAUGUAGCUAGAGGAAUCCUCUAUUUACAUGAGGAGUGUGAGACCCCAAUCAUUCACUGUGACAUAAAGCCGCAAAACAUAUUGAUGGAUGAUUAUUGGAGAGCUAAAAUUUCAGACUUCGGGCUGGCAAAACUGUUGAUGGGGGAUCAUACAAGGACCUUCACAGUAGUGAGGGGAACUAGAGGAUAGAUGGCCCCAGAAUGGCAUAAGAAUGUUCCAAUCUCAGCGAAGGCUGACGUUUACAGUUACGGAAUUGUGCUAUUGGAAACUGUGUUUUGCAGACGAAACUUGGACACCACUGUAUCAAACCCAGAGGAGAUCAUUCUGUCGAUUUUGGUGUAUAAAUGUCUGGUUGAAAAAAAGUUGGAUAAGCUUGUGCUUGGUGAAGAAGUAGAUAAGAAAAGCUUGGAAAGAAUGGUGAUGGUGGCACUUUGGUGUAUCCAAGAUGAACCUGCACUUCGUCCUUCCAUCAAGACUGUAGUGAUGAUGCUGGAAGGCAUUACUGAUAUAUGCAUUCCCCCAUGUCCAACUGCUUCCUCCAUAUAAUUCAAGUCUUCCUCCAUAUAAUUCAAGUCUUCGUCCAUAUAAUUCAAGUCACGACCUAACAAUCAAUCAUCUCACUCCGAGUGUUCGUGUAGUUUAUGUUACGUAAGGACUGCGUCAUGUUUGUAUUUCCUCUGGCUUGUAAUAAAUUUGUAAAAUGCUUCCUGCAGCAGUGUUCUCCCAUCAUUUGUAGGUUUAAAAAUUGUGUUCGAGUUAUUUAAUCAUAUAGUUGUAUGUAAUAACUGAGUUUUACUGUAAUUCCUAAUUAAUAAUCUCCGAUUGCUCAAAAUGGUAAAAAACUUGCAAAAGGGUCAUGUAAGCAAAGCCAUCAUGUGUAUGCUAAGACUAAUAAGUCCUUUUGUCUUGGACUUGUUAUGAUCUCAUUAGACAGGAUGUUAGGAAACUGAAUAAUCAUUUUUAAGCAGAGAGAUUGUGCAUUAGAAUAACAGCAUCCAAGAGCAAAACCAGAACUCAGAGGCUGUGACUGUUGAACAUGUUCCGGCAAAGGUACAUGAGAAUUAUCAACUUAGGUGAUAUUGGUAUAUUUGCACAUAUGUGCAGCGCUAUGGUUUGAAAGACGACGACGACGACAACUACUACUACCUGCCAUACAGCUGAAGCCAUCUUCCUCUUUUUGCGAUCAUAUGAGUAUAUAUACAAUACAAGUUUGCGGUUAAGGCCCAGAAACAAUACCAACAAUGUCCAUCCAUGGCAGCCCAUCUAUAUAACUAAUAAGGAACUAAUGACCUAGAAAAAUGGUUAAAUUUCAAUUUAAUCCCUCUACUAUGCUUAAAUUUGAGAUUGAAUCUCCAUACUUUGGUCCUUUUAUUUUUGUAAUGUUAUUAAUAAGUCCAAAUAACUAAUAUAAUUAACUUUUAAAUUAAGAUGUUAUGUGUUUAUAUAUAAUUUAAAUUUCCCAAGGGUCUCAAAGACGAACAUAUGUAUUUCCAUUUCUUUUGGAUUUGUCUUCUUUCUUUUUUUGACAUUAUAAGACAAUGAUCAAACUUCAAUUUUAGCUCCUAUAGUAUGUUGAAACUUGAUAUUUGAUUUACACACUUUAAUUUUUGACAUAAUUUGGUCAUUCUAUUUUUAUAAUGUCAUUAGUUAGUCUAAAUACUUAAUAUUGUUAACUUAACGAUAUUAAGUAUUUUAAUCAGAAUGCUUACAUCAAUUUUUCUUAAGAACACCAUGCCAACAAAAAAAGUAUUAUUUUAUAAUGAUGAGUUCAAAUAGGUGUUUUUAAGAAAAAAAUUCACAUAAACAUUUUCAAUGUUAAUUUUUAUUGUUAUACGACUACCAACUGUUUUUUUUUUAAUUUCGAAAUGUCAAGCCAAUGAAUUUAAUAUAAGAAUUUUAAUUGUGGUACAACUUGACCUAAAAGCUUAAACCCGAAAAGUAUAGGGACAAAAUUUUUGAAAAUAAAAGUAGAGGGACUAGAUUUUAUAUGUAUGAAGUGUAUAAAACCUUAGAGUAUAUUUUAACUUUCAAGGUUUUACUCCAUUUUUUUGGUCGAAACCACAAUAUUUACCAUUGGUAGCCGUAACUAAUCUCCCUCACCGCAAGUGCUCUCUAAAAAAAAUAAACAGUUGGUGAUGAAAUGUGAUUCAUUCACAUUAAUUAUGCAUUUUUUUUUACUCCAUUCGAGUAUAAAAUUAAAAGGUAAACUACACAAACUAUAAUCAACUAUAAAAAAAAAUCAUUUUAGACACAAAAAAUAAAAUGUAUGUAAUUUAGUCACUCGUAUUUUAAUCACUCCCAUUAAAAUGGAAGAUGGAUGUCCACGUGGAGCUUUUUUAAAAUUUUUAUUAAUAUUUAAUAAUUUCCGACUAAUAAAUUAUUUCGACGUCUGAAAUUCUUUUAGCCUAAACCUAAGCUAAUAGUGAAACUAAGGAAAAAUUUCCUUCAUUCUAGUGCUAGAAAAAAAAUUGCAGUCACCCUUUCCCUUUCUCGCCCAAUCUCAGCCUCAACCACCUCCCUCUCUAGUUUCUCAUGCUCUGCUUUGGCUUCCUUGAUGUGCCUCAUCCCGGCUUGCCACCCCAAGCUUUUUAUAGUGGAGGUCAGUUUGGGGGUGGCUCUUUACCUCUGGGGCUUGGUUUUAAAAGUUUUUAAAUAGUAAAUGUAAAAUUGUAUUUUAGUCUUUUUAAAAAUGAUAAAAUUUUGAUUUAAUCUUUUAAAAAUUAUAAAAAUAUAAACUAAUUAAUGGUGAAAUUAUUUUUUUACUAUCAUAAAAAUUACAAUUUAAUUUUAACCCCUUAAUUUUUUUUCUAAAUUUGACCCUGUUAUAUAGAUUACCUAAAACCUAAAUUAAAUGAUAGGUUAAUUUCAAAAUAUUGUUUAUUGUUAAUACAAAAGGGUUAGGAGGAAAGGUAACAUAAAUCAUUCUCCACCUUUGCACUAUAUAUUAUACAUGCUUUCUUUAUCAUCAUAAUUUGACAGAUAUAAUACAAAGCAAGUCAAGUCUUGUGAAAUAUUGAUAGAAUAAAGCAGGCUUUGUGGGAGACUUAUUUGGUUAUGGUUUAACUUAACAUAUGCUUUUGGCUUGGAGUGAAAUAAUAUAAGAUUGAACACUGAUAUUUUAUUUUCUUGUGGAUGAUAUUAUUAACCAUAUGGCGUGGACGGUAGGCUAGGGAAUUUUUUACUCUUUAUGUCAUCCAUAUUUACCAUUGAUAACCACAAUAAUUUAUUUUUCAAUAUAAACAUGACUUAUAAAAUUUCAAAUAGUUUAUGAGACAUAGGCAAAGUGUUUGGAAGAAGUGACUAAAUGAGUGGAUAUUUUUUCAAGCUCUGGGAUAACAGAAAUAUAAUAGGAGAUAACAAAAAGUUUGCUUACGCAGCUCACGGAGUCUAAUUCAGUGAGAAGUAUCCACUAUCUUCAAACACUUACAGCAAGUGACCCUAAAUCUAUGAGACCCAAGUGACAAUUUCCUCACUUUUGUGCCUUUAAAGACUAGAACCCUUGCCACUAAAUUCACCCCUGUGAACUAAGCAUGUAAAACCACAACCCAAAGGUUUUACAAUCAAAUGCACUCUUACAAAUAAUGUUCCUCACUUGAAUAGAUUAAGUGCUCUCAAUUCUCGAACAUAAUCCUAUACAAGUCUCUCUAUUAUAUAGAGUUGUUCGAGACUUGCUAACAUAGAGAAGAUCUAUAACAAUCUCUAUAAAACAAUCACUAUAUAAGUUGAAUAAAAUAUAAUAAUAGCAAACAAGAUAAACAAGAAUUAUUGGUAAACAAGGACGGUUGGUAGAUAAGUUGAAUAAAAUAUAAUAAAUAAAAUAUAAGUCUUUAAUGUUACAAACCAAUCCAACUUCCUUAUCUAAGGGAUUAGAUAAGUGUGAUUCGAAUCGAUUCGAUCCAACCCUCUUUAUACAUUUCUUUAAGUGAUAUGAUCUUCAUUAGUGGGCUAGAUACGAUCCACAAUCUCAAUAUAACCAAAAUAUCUAGCUCAAUAAAUUGCCAACAACUCAAAUAUGGAAAUAGCCUAAUCUGUCGUAGUUGGUCAAAGAGUGGGCACUCCCUCAGACACUUAUUUAGUCUUUCUGUAUUUUCAACAAUCUCCUCAUUUGGAAAUUUUUUGAACAAAACACAAACAAAGUAGGAAGCUUAAACAUAAAUUAACAACUUGCUCCCUUUUAUUAUAUUUCCUUUUAAUCCAACAAUAAUGAAUCAUGAAAAAUAUAUGCAACCAAAGUAAUCAUCAUUUAUUGACCAAAUGAAAUCCAACUAUUAGAAGUAGCAAAAUUAAGAAACAAACCUCCAAAAACCAUAAGUUUCAAAAAGCAACAGUAACAUCAAUGAAUUUGAAGCAAAAUAUGAAUCUCCCCUAUCACCAGUAGCUUCCCCUUAUUCUCUUUUCCCCCCUUUUUGAUCAACAAGAUUGCCAACUUAUUUUUCAUUAGGAAGGGAUAUUAGAUUAGCACAAAGAAGCUUUUGCCUAUCUAUGAUCUUCUUCAUAGUCUUAGCUUCAAUAAGGAGUCUGGUAAUGUGCCUAUCAUUGGCUUCAAUAAAGGAUGUAAGAUCCUCAAUCAUCAUUUUAUGAAUGUCAUAGGGAAUAACCUUGGGGCCUGGAGAAGUUGGCACUUAUUGGGUCUAAGGUGCUUCUUCUUGCUCAACAUCAUCAUAUCAAAAUUACUUCCCCUCAACAGCAACAUUACCUCUCCCCCUUAGUAGGACCCAUCAUAUUUAGACAAUAACAAUUCAGGGCCUUCCUUAUCAUUGAAGUGCUAACUUUAUACUAUUCUCCACAUAAAAAUACCUUUUAAUGAAACUUACUAUAUUUGUUACUUAAUACUUUGCAGCAAAUUAACAUAAAACUUCAUAACAACAUUACAGACACACAACUUGACACAACUCAUUGACCUUAACAAACCACUUUUUCCAAUAAGUACAUCUAUGCCAUGACCAACAAACCCUCUAAAAAUAUGAUAAUAGGUUGGAUUAAAUGACUUGGUAUCAAAGUAUAAUUGGUAAACUGUGUAAUAUAUAUGUUUACGUAAUACUAAAGGCUAGAAAUGAGUAUAUGUAACUCGUAACUUUGCUGAAAUGACAUAAUUGAGAUAUUGGUUUGCUUGUUUAGGUGUUGCAAAAUGGUACCUUUUAGAUCUUUUGGAAACAAAAAAUUACGUGGUGACGAGGAAUCAACAAUAAGUUGCAUCAUGACCUGGAAGCCCCAAUCGUGACAUCAACUCGAUAGUUUGCAAACUUUUCAUUUUGGUCCUAAUUCGACCUCAAGUUAGCAUAUGAGCUUUCAUAAGCUUGUAUAAGACUCGAAUAUUAUUGAAAAACAUAUUGUGAAAGCGUGAUGUAGUUAGUAGCAUGUGAAAAAAGUUAACUUGGGUCGGUGUUGCUCUGACAACGAAAGUUGCAUAUAAAGGAGUGCUCCUAGAGGCUGUGCCUUGGAGUUUUAGCCAAACCAUAAAUUAUUUGAGAUUUUCAGUCAAAAUUGUAAAUAAGAUUGUUAAGUAGAAAUUUUAAAAGAUGUAUGUAUUAGUAUCAAUUGUUGUGCUUAGUUAAUCUGUUGGAAAGUGAAUUUUAAAUAAUGUUAGUCAGUUAUCUAGAAUUUCUAUCAUCCAGAACCUGGACUCAGUGAGCGGAUCAGGAAUUAGGUGUGUAAUGGCCCAUUUUCAGUGAAAUCAGAAUAGUGGUUUCGGGACCACAAAUCCAGAGUCAAAAGUUUUACUUAAUAUUUUUUAUGUGGUAUAAAACAUGUUAGAAGUAUGGUAUAAAAUUUCGUUAAGAAAUUUUACCGUUUGUUUGCUAAAUUUGUGAAAAAGGACUAAAUCGCAUAAAGUGCGAAAGUUGUGUUCUAUUAGCUAAAGGUAUUAAAUAGAUAUAGAAUGUUAAAUUACAGGUCCUUAUUGAGUAAUUAGACCAUUAAAGAAGGUAGUGGAUGUACAUGGGGUGAAAUCAUAAAUAGUCAAAGUUGGUAAGGGGUUAGUAAAUUGUUGACUAAUGUUAAAGUAAAUAAAAGAAAAACAAAAUGGCCAUCUUCUUCUUUCUUUUUCAACCAAAAAUACCAUCAAACUAAGAGCUUGGAAAGCUUGAAUUUUUCAGCCGCAAAGUCCCUUGCAUGUAAGUGAAAUUGGUGUUUGUUUUUGUUUAUUGUUAUUUUUGUGGAACCCUUGUAGCUUAAGCUAGCUAAAUAGGGACAAAUUUGCAAAAUGGUUGAAACGCUAGGGUUUUUCCAAGAAAGCAUGAUAGUUUUUUUAAAAUUUUAAUGGAAUAAAAUGAAAAUUUGGGUGUUAAACACUUUUUGUUAAGUGAUUUUUGACAUAAAAUUCAAUUAGGGGUUAAUUUGUGAAGUAUGAAGAUUUUGAGUUAUAUGUGUGAAAUUAGGGCUUAUGUGGGCUUCUAUGAGCACCUAGAUAAUUCAGUUAAGCUUUGAUGUGGAUGAAAUUGCAUAAAUUUCGUUUUACGAGCCUAGGGACUAAUUUGUAAAAAAGUUAAAAGUAUAGGGGUAAAAUGGUAAUUUUUCCCUAAUAUGAAACUGGAUUGAAUUGAAUAGAAUAAGCAUUGAAUUAGUUAAAUUUGAUUAUAUAGAUCAAGAAAAGCAACAUUUAGACAUAAAUCGAGGCAAAGAUAAAGUGGUAGAUUGAUCGAUCGAUUUAAUCCGUACAAUUACGAGGUAAGUUCGUACAAUUAAACAUUUAAUGUUUAUUUAUUUAAUUGAUGAAUGAUAUUAUGCACUUGUACAUAUCUAUUGUUGAACUUUGAAAUGGAAUUAAAUGUUCAAACAAGUAAAUCGCAGGAUUGAGUAUAAAUGUUUUAUGCAAAUGAGGAUUUUACGGAUAAGACCAUGGUUGGACCAUGGCAACAUUAGUAUGUAAGACCAUAGCCGGGCUAUGGCAUUCUGAUGAUAAGACUAUAACUGGGUUAUGGCACUACGAAUGUAAGACCAUGGUAGGGUCAUGGCAUUUCGCGUAAAAGACCAUAGUUGGACUAUGGCACAAGGAAAACAAUGUACUCAUAUCCGUAAGCCGAUCUCAGAUUCAGAAUGAUGAGGUAAAUGCAUUCAUCGAUAUUUAAAUAAUCCAAUGAGCUCAGUAAUAAUACGAGUUGAGUCGAGUUAAAGUAAAUCAGUGUAGGUAUUCGCAAGAAUUACAAAAAAUAAUUCAUAGUGGAGGUAGCUAUACAACAUUAACCUAAUUACGAUUAUGUGAUAAGCUUUGAGUCGAAUUGUAAAUUUCCUGUGUAUUAAUUUUGAUAAGUUAAAUUGUGGAUGCUUUGGAAGGUUUUUUUAAUAUUCAUACGAACUUAUUAAGCUUAAUUACUUACUCGAUUUAUGUUUCAGUGUUUUAUAGUGAAUUGGAAGCUCACUCGAUUCGGAAGUCGUCGGAGAUCGCGUCACACUAUCAAACUCUCAUUUUGGUAUUUUAAACUUUGUAUAUUUUGGGUUAAAUGGAACGUAUAAGUGUUUUGGUUAAGGUAGCCUAUAUGUUGGUUGUAUAAUUAGCUAAGUGAGUUGGCUUGAGAAUGAUAUAUGUUUUGAUAUGUAAGUAUGUAUAUAUAUGGCCUUUUGAUAUGUUAUGUAUAGUGGCUUUGUGAAUGCCUUGUUGUGGAUUGGUAUCUUGUGUAACAAAUGGUUGGAAUUGAGAUGAGCAUGUAUGCUAAGUUAGGCAUAAGGUUUAAAACAUGUAAUUGGCCAUUUAGUUAUACUUUACAAUUAUCUUUGGUAUGUUUAAAAGUGGUCAAAUGAAUGUGCUUGUGGAGAUCAUGUUGUAUGUGUGGUUUGUGUAUGGUAUAAACUUGAUAUUGGUUUGCUUAAAGUGCCUAUUUAUGCCAUGGUUGUAUGUACAUUAUUGAGUUUAGGUUGGCACCACUUUGGGUGAGGAAUAUGGCUUGGAAAAUAGCCUAUUUUUGUCCACACGGGCAGAGACACGGGCAUGUGUCUCGGCCGUGUGUCCCCUGAUACUAUUCAAAAAUCAAAGUUAAUGGCUUCACACGGUCUAGCACACUAGCGUGUGGGUUAGCCGUGUGGCACAAGUCAGUAUACCCUCCAAUUUUAGCACAGCCGAGCACAUGACCUGAAUAUGGGCGUGUAUGGCCAUUUCAUGAGGCACACGGCUUGACACACGGGAGUGUGGUUUGGCCGUGUGAGCCAAGUCAAAGAGUUGUACGGGGUCGGACAUGGGUUGGGACAUGGCCAUGUGAUCCCAUUUCGAAUGCGCAUACGGCCUGAGACACAGGUGUGUCUCUUGGCCAUGUGAGAGUCACGGUUGGGGUACACAGACGUAUGACCUCUGUACUUUGAAAAUUUUCAAUAUUUUUUCAAAACUUUCCUGGGUUAUCAGUUUAGUCCCGAAUCACUUCUAAUGCUUAUUUUGGGCCUCUAGGGCUCGUGUUAGGGACUAUAUGAUUGUAUUUGAAUGGUUUUUGUUUGGAUUGAGAAUUAAACACAAAAUGUAUGAUGGUUUGAGUUAUAAGUCCAGUAAUACUCUGUAACACUGUUUUGGCAUCGUAUACGGGUUAAGGGUGUUACAUUUAUUGGUAUCAAAGCUACGGUUUAGUUGAUUCUAGGACUAACGCAGUGUGUGUGAGUCUAGCUAUACAUGCCAUUUAUUAACCUUUGAUAUUGUGACAUCUCUUAACAGUUUAAAAUCGUGUUUUCUAAUAGUAAUGGAUCUAAAUUGAGCAAAUUUCGAUGAUGUUAAAAAUAACGCGCCAGCCACAGUUUGGGGGGUAACAUUAUUUGACUAUUUACAUGCGUCUGGGAGUCAUGGAGGAGAAGCUAAGGAAACCUUCUUCCAAAUGAUGAGCGAAUGGUACACCAAGUUUGUACGGACGAACUUGGCUAUUCAACAACCGCCACCUAUUCCCUAACAGGUUCCCGUAGCUCCUCAAGGUUUGGAACCUUUACGUAUGAGUAGACCACAUGUUGAUAAAAUUUGAAAGUACGGGGCUGAAGAGUUUAGAGCUAUAGUUGAUGAUGAUCUCGAGAGCCGAGUUUUGGCUUAAGAAUACAAUUCGAGUUUUUGAUGAUCUGUCUUGUACACCGGCAAAAUAUCUUAAAUGUGCUGUAUCAAUUCUGAGAGAUACUGCCUAUCAGUGGUGGAACACCUUGAUAUCGGUAGUACCGAGAGAAUGAGUCACGUGAGAAUUCUUUCAAGCUGAGUUUAGGAAGAAAUACAUAAGUCAAUGGUUUCUAAAUCAAAAGCAUAAAGAGUUUCUAGAAUUGAAACAAGGCCGUUUGACUGUGACAAAGUACGAAAGAGAAUUUGUAAGAUUAAGUAUGUAUGCUCGGAAGUGUGUUUCUAUUGAAGAAAUCAUGUGUAAGCGAUUCGUAGAUAGUUUGAAUGAAGACAUUAAGCUUUUAGUCAAAAUUCCAGAAUUGAAAGAGUUUGUUGUCUUGGUCGAUAGAGCUUGCAAAGCUGAAGAGCUUGGUAAAGAAAAGAAAAUAGUCGAUUCUGAGGCUAAAGAUUCAAGAAAGACGGGAAAAUCUUAUCACUCAUUGUCAAAGAAAUCAAAGGAUUUCCACAAUCGUUCAACCGCUUUAGUGGGAUAUUCUAACCUAGACCGUGGUAAACAAUACGUAGGUUCAAAAAAUGAAGCCACUUCAAUAACAAGCGUUGGUAGUGUUAAAGCCAAUAGACAAGAAUGUCAGCGAUGUGGAAGACGACAUUUUAAAGAAUGUCAAUUGAUUGACAGAGCCUGUUUUAGAUGUGGCUCGCUUGAGCAUUUCAUUCGUGACUGCCCUGAAUUAUCUGAGAAAGACAAACUUCAGACCGCUCGACCGAGCAAUACAUUUGCUAGAGGGCGACCACCCCAAAAUACUGAAAUAUGAGUGGUAGUUGAGGUACAACGAGAGACUCUACUGUAAGAUCUGAGGCAUGAGCACCAACUAAAGCUUAUGCCAUUCGCGUUCGAGAGGAUGCAUCGGCACCAGAUGUUAUCACUGGUACAUUUUCUCUUUGUAACACUGAUGUAAUUGCUUUGAUUGAUCCGGGAUCAACUCAUUCUUAUGUAUGUACAAAGUUAGUGUCUAGUAAGAGUUUACAUGUCGAGUCCACUGAAUUUAUGGUUAAAGUAUCGAACCCCUUAUGUCAGUAUGUAUUAAUUGAUAAAGUCUGCAAGAAUUGUCCUUUGAUGACUCGGGGUUACACUUUUUCGGCCGAUUUGAUGAUUUUACCGUUUGACGAGUUUGAUGCGAUAUUCGGUAUGGAUUGGCUGACAAUGCAUGAUACGAUUGUGAAUUGUAGAUGAAAGACCAUUAUAUUAAAAUGUUAGAACGGUGAUACUCUUCGUAUCGAAUCCGAUAAUUUUAAUAGUUUGCCUAUUGUGAUAUUGGCUAUGCUAGUAUAGAAAUAUGUGAGGAAGUGUUGUGAUGCUUACCUUGCGUACGUGCUCGAUAGAAAAGUGCCUGAAUCGAAGAUUGAAUCAGUACCAGUGGUUCCAGAUGUGUUUCCGGAAGAGUUACCUAGGUUACCACUGAUCAGAGAGGUCGAGUUCACUAUUGAGUUAGUACCGGGAACAUCACCAAUAUCGAUAGCUCCGUCCAGAAUGGCUUUGACCGACUUGAAAAAAUUGAAAGCUCAGUUGCAGGAGUUAACAGAUAGAGGUUUUGCACGAUCGAGUUUUUCGCCUUGGGGUGCACUGGUAUUAUUUGUAAGAAAGAAAAAUGGAUCAAUGAGAUUGUGUAUCUACUAUCGAGAGCUUAAUAAGGUUACGAUUAAGAAUAAGCAUCAUUUGUCGAGGACUGAUGAUUUGUUCAAUCAGUUGAAAGGAGUAGUAGUAUUUUCAAAGAUUGAUUUAUGAUCCGACUAUUAUCAGUUGAGGGUUAAAGACUCUGAUAUGUCGAAAACUACAUUUAGGACUUGGUAUGGACAUUAUGAAUUUCUUGUUAUGCCAUUUGGAUUAACUAAUGCUCCUGCAGUUUUUAUGGAUUUGAUGAAUAUAAUUUUUAGACCUUAUUUAGACAGAUUCAUGGUUGUAUUCAUUGAAGAUAUUCUGAUCUAUUCGCGAGAUGAGUCUGAACAUGCUGAGCACUUGAGGAUUGUGUUACAAACGUUGAAAGAUAAGCAACUAUUUGCUAAAUCUAGCAAGUGCAAGUUUUGGCUCCGAGAAGUUGGAUUUUUGGGACACAUUGUUUCGGCUGAAGGCAUUAGAGUUGAUUCGAGCAAAAUUUCAGCAAUUGUUGACUGGAAACCACGGAGAAACAUAUUCGAAGUCAGAAUCUUUCUGGGUUUAGCAGGCUAUUGUUGGAGAUUUUUUAAAGGUUUCUCUAUUAUAGCUACACCAAUGACUCGGUAAUUACAAAAAAGAUGUGAAAUUCGUGUGGUCUAAAAAAUGUCAAUAGAGUUUUGAGCAGUUGAAAACAUUGUUAACUGAGGCACCAGUUCUGGUUCAACCUAAGUCGGGUAAAGAGUUUGUGAUUUUCAGCGACGCGUCAUUGAGUGGUUUAGGUUGUGUUUUGAUGGAAGAGGGAAAAGUGAUAGCUUAUGUUUCCAAGCAAUUGAAACCGCACAAAAAGAAUUAUCUGACGUACGACUUAGAGUUGGCCGCUAUUGUUUUCGCAUUGAAAAUUUGGUGACAUCAUUUAUACAGUGAAAAGUGCCAUAUCUUUACCGACCACAAGAGUUUGAAGUAUUUAAUGACUCAGAAAUUUUUGAAUUUGUGACAACGAAGAUGGCUCGAGUUGUUGAAAGAUUAUGAAUUGGUGAUUAUCACCCGGGGAAAGCGAAUGUAGUAGCAGAUACCUUGAGUAGAAAAUCUUUAUUUGCAUUGUGAGCAAUGAAUGUGCGAUUGAGCUUGUCCAAUGAUGAUUCGAUUUUACCUGAAUUAAAAGCUAGACCGAUGUUCUUACAACAAAUUUGUGAAGAUAAAAAAUGAGAUAGCAAAUUGCAAGCUAAAAGAGUACAGUGUGAGUCGAUUUUUGAUUCAGAGUUUCAGAUCAAAUCCGUUGAUUGCUUAUUAUUCCGAGGUAGAGUUUCAGAAGUGCACAGUGGUAGCUUGUCUGUUCCAUCGGAAAGUACUAAGAUGUGUAGUGAUUUGAAACAAAUGUACUGAUGGACGGGUAUAAAAUGUGACAUUUCUGAGUUUAUGUCGAAAUGAUUGACUUGUUAGCAAGUCAAAGCUAAACACCAAGUACCUUCGGGGCUAAUAAUAAUAUCCCCAAACCGAUGGUCAGUCUGAGAGAGUGAUUCAAAUUCUCGAGGAUAUGCUUCGUUGUUGUGUUUUGGAGUUCGAAGGUAAUUGGGAAAAAUAUUUACCUUUGGUUGAAUUCACGUAUAAUAAUAGUUUUCAAUCGAGUAUUAAGAUGGCAUCGUAUGAAGCUUUGUAUGGUCGAAAAUGUCGAACUCCAUUGUAUUAGACUGAGCUUGGUGAGAAAAAGAUACACGGGGUUGACUUGAUCCGAGAAAUCGAAGAGAAGCUGAAAGUGAUUCGCGACAGCUUAAAAGCUGCUUCAGAUCAACUGAAAUCUUACGCGAAUUUGAAGCAUAAAGAUAUUGAAUUUCAGGUUGGCAAUAAAGUGUUUUUGAAAGUAUUUCCUUGGAAAAGAAUUCUUCGAUUUGGUUGCAAAGGAAAGUUGAGUCCACGAUUUAUUGGACCGUAUGAGAUUAUCAAGAGAAUUGGGCCAGUAGCUUAUCAACUUGAGUUACCGUCUAAGUUGGAAAAGAUUAAUAAUGUAUUCCAUGUAUCUAUGGUACGACAGUACUGAUUGGACCCUUCGCUUAUAAUUUCUCCAACCGAGGUUGAGAUUCAACCAAACAUAUCAUAUAUGGAAGAACCGAUCUGAAUUUUGGCAUAUAAGGUCAAUAAAUUGAGAAAUAAAAGAAUACCCUUAGUGAAAGUUCUUUUGCAUCGUCAUGGGAUUGAAGAGGCCACUUGGGAACCCGAGGAAACUUUGAGAAAAUAAUACCCUAACCUAUUUUUCGGUAAAAUUUUCGAGGACGAAAAGUCCUAAGGGGGGAGAGUUAUAACGGCCCAUUUACAGUAAAAUCGAAACAGUGGUUUUAGGACCACAAAUUUGAAAGUCCUAAGGGGGAGAGUUGUAACGGCCUAUUUACAGUGAAAUCGAAACAGUGGUUUUAGGACCACAAAUUUGGAGUCAAAAAUUUUAUUUAAUAUUUUUUAUGUGGUCUACAACAUGCUACAAGUAUGGUAUAAAAAUUUCGUUAAGAAAUUUUAACGUUUGUUUGCUCAAUUUGUGAAAAAGGACUAAAUCGCAUAAAGUGCGAAAGUUGUGUUCUAUUAGUAAAGGUAUUAAAUAGAUAUAGAAUGUUAAAUUACAGGUCCUUAUUGAGUAAUUAGACCAUUAAAGAAGGUAGUGGAUGUACAUGGGGUGAAAUCAUAAAUAGUCAAAGUUGGUAAGGCGUUAGUAAAUUGUUGACUAAUGUUAAAGUAAAUAAAAUAAAAACAAAGUGGCCAUCUUCUUCUUUCUUUUUCAACCAAAAAUACCAUCAAACUAAGAGCUUGGAAAGCUUGAAUUUUUCAGCCGCAAAGUCCCUUGCAUGUAAGUGAAAUUGGUGUUUGUUUUUGUUGAUUGUUAUGUUUUUGGAACCCUUAUAGCUUAAGCUAGCUAAAUAGGGGACUAAUUUGAAAAAUGGUUGAAACGCUAGGGCUUUUCCAAGAAAGCAUGAUAGUUUUUUUAAAAUUUUAAUGGAAUAAAAUGAAAAUUGGUUGGGUGUUAAAUACUUUUUGUUAAGUGAUUUUUGACAUAAAAUUCAAUUAGGGGUUAAUUUGUGAAGUAUGAAGAUUUUGAGUUAUAUGUGUGAAAUUAGGGCUUAUAUGGGCUUCUAUGAGCACCUAGAUAAUUCGGUUAGGCUUUGAUAUGGAUGAAAUUGCAUAAAUUUUGUUUUACGAGCCUAGGAACUAAUUUGUAAAAAAGUUAAAAGUAUAGGGGUAAAAUGGUAAUUUUUCACUAAUAUGAAAUUGGAUUGAAUUGAAUAGAAUAAGCAUUGAAUUAGUUAAAUUUGAUUAUAUAGAUCAAGAAAAGCAACAUUUAGACAUAAAUCGAGGCAAAGAUAAAGUGGUAGAUUGAUCGAUCGAUUUAAUCCGUACAAUUACGAGGUUAGUUCGUACAAUUAAACAUUUAAUGUUUAUUUAUUUAAUUGAUGAAUGAUAUUAUGCACUUGUACAUAUCUAUUGUUGAACUUUGAAAUGGAAUUAAAUGUUCAAACAGGUGCAUCGCAGGAUUUAGUACAAAUGUUUUAUGCAAAUGAGGAAUUUACGGAUAAGACUAUGGUUUGACCAUGGCAACAUUAUUAUGUAAGACCAUAGUUGGGCUAUGGCAUUCUCAUGAUAAGACCAUAACUGGGUUAUGGCACUACGAAUGUAAGACCAUGGUAGGGCCAUGGCAUUUCGCGUAAAAGACCAUAGUUGGACUAUAGCACAAGGAAAACAAUGUACUCAUAUCUGUAAGCCAAUCUCGGUUUCAGAAUAAUGAGGUAAGUGCAUUCAUCGAUAUUUAAAUAAUCCAAUGAGCUCAUUAAUAAUAUGAGGUGAUUCGAGUUAAAGUAAAUCAGUGUAGGUAUUCGCAAGAAUUACAAAAAAUAAUUCAUAGUGGAGGUAGCUAUACAACAUUAACCUAAUUACGAUUAUGUGAUAAGCUUUGAACUGAAUUGUAAAUUUUCUGUGUAUUAAUUUUGGUAAGUUAAAUUGUGGAUGCUUUGGAAGGUUUUUUUUAGUAGUCAUACAAACUUACUAUGCUUAAUUGCUUACUCGGUUUAUGUUUCAGAGUUUUAUAGUGAAUCAGAAGCUCACUUGAUUCGGAAGUCAUCGGAGAUCGCGUCACACUAUCAAACUCACAUUUUGGUAUUUUAGACUUUGUAUAUUUUGGGUUAAAUGGCACGUAUAGGUGUUUUGGUUAAGGUAGCCUAUAUGUUGGUUGUAUAAUUAGCCAAGUGAGUUGGCUUGAGAAUGAUAUAUGUUUUGAUAUGUAAGUAUGUAUAUAUAUGGCCUUUUGAUAUGUUGUGUAUAGCGGCUUUGUGGAUGCCUUGUUAAGGAUUGGUAUCUUGUGUAGCAAAUGGUUGGAAUUGAGAUGAGCAUGUAUGCUAAGUUAGGCAUAAGGUCUAAAGCAUGUAAUUGACCAUUUAGUUAUACUUUACAAAUAUCUUUGGUAUGUUUAAAAGUGGUCAAAUGAAUGUGCUUAUGGAUAUCAUGUUGUAUGUAUGGUUUGUGUAUGGUAUAAACUUGGUAUUGGUGUGCUUGAAGUGGCUAUUUAUGGCAUGGUUGUAUGUACAUUGUUGAGUUUAGGUUGGCACCACUUUGGGUGAGGAAUAUGGCUUGGAAAAUAGCCUAUUUUUGUCCACACGGGCAUGUGUCUCGGCCGUGUGUGACACAGGGCCGUGGUACACGGCCGUGUGUCCCCUAAUACUAUUCAAAAAGCAAGUUAAUGGCUUCACACGGUCUAGCACACAGCCGUGUGGGUUAGCCAUGUGGCACAAGUCAGUAUACCCUCCAGUUUUAGCACGGCCUGAACAUGGGCCUGUGUGGCCAUUUCAUGAGGAACACGGCCUGACACACGGGCGUGUGGUCUGGCCGUGUGAGCCAAGUUAGAGAGUUAGACGGGGUCGAAAACGGGCUGGGACACGGCAUGUGAUCCCAUUUCAAAUGCCCAUAUGGCUUGAGACACGGGCAUGUCUCUUGGCCUUGUGAGAGACACGACUGAGGUAUACGGGCGUGUGACUCUUGUACCUUGAAACUUUUUAAUAUUUUCUCAAAACUUUCUUGAGUUAUUGGUUUAGUCUCGAAUCACUUCUAAUGAUUGUUUUGGGCCUCUAGGGCUCGUGUUAGGGACUAUAUGAUUGUAUUUUUGAAUAGUUCUUGUUUGGAUUGAGAAUUGAACAUGAAAUGUAUGAUGGUUUGAGUUAUAAGUCUAGUAAUACUCUGUAACCCUAUUCCGGCGUCGAAUACGGGUUAAGGGUGUUAUAAGGUGUUACACGAAGUCCAUGACGAAUGCGCAAAUAGCGUCCCAUGGAGGUCAAUUGAUGAAAUAGGGCUCAUUCGACCCAUUUGAACUGGCCCAAUUCGUAGAACACGUGGAGAAGCCUAUAUACUUGAAGCAUUGGUAGUCUAGUGAAACACUUAAUGAAAAUUAGUUACCUUGGUAAAUAUGACAAGUAAUCUUAUAAGAUGUGUAAUUCGAUAAAACUUGAUUAUGUAAUAUUAAGGGAUUGUGUAAAACCUUUAAGAAUCUCAAUUUUAAGUAGGCUGUAAUCUUGAUCGUCAAUGUAAUUUAAUUUGUACCAUGGGAUUUUGGGGAGUUUAAAUAUAAAUAGAGGCCUCCCCCCUCAUUUUUAAUCACUCAAUUGUAAUUCUUCAUAGUAAUUGAAUACUAUUGAGAGCAUUUACUCAAACACUUGACGUGCUUUUUCUUUCUUGUGACUUUUCUAUUUUUUUGUUACUUUUUUGUUUUGAGUUGCUUCCACUUUAUUUUCAGUGCGUUGGAGAAUUUUAUCAAGAAUUCUCACUUUGUGAGAGAUUGGUUGACUUAGGCAAAUUUGAAGAAAAGAAAUCACCUAAGGUCGCAUAGAUUGCGAAACUAAAGUUCUAACCCCAUGAUAUAGACAAGUACCCUAAACAUCCUUCCAAAAUUUAGUGCUACACCCAUUGCCAAUUGAUGAAUGAAUGUUGCACAUAAUAUCAUCUCAAACCCUUGCAAUGGACUGCCAAACAUGAGAAGCAACUGGUUGAUUAAUACUGGCUGGACAUGUUUCCACCAUGUUAUAUUUAGAUUGCAAAAUUCGAACCCAUAAAGCUUAUUUGUUGGUCAAAAUUGUGAAGCCUAAUUUCAUUAGGAAAGAAUGGUUAUUCACAUUCAAUUUUCGAAUGCCUAAACCUCAUGCUCAUAGGGUUUUGGCAACAUGGGUUCCAAGACACAGGAGUUGGCUUCUUCGAAUCAAUACCCCCUCAAAUAAAGCUUCUAACAAUGUUCUCGAUUUCCAUACAAAUGUCUAUAGGGAUCUUAGUAAUUCGCAUGUAAUAAGAAGAGAUUGAGAAUAACACUGACUUAGCAAGCAUAACACAAUUCGGUAACGAAAUAACUCUAACAUCCCAUCCAUUAACUGCUCACGAACUUUCUCAACAAUAAAGCGGAAUGUAUCUUUGGUGACCCUUUUAUGAAAAAGUGGAAUACCCAAGUGCUUUCUCAAAUUUGAAACUCGUUGGAAGCCCAGGGUACUUCACCAUGUUUUACUAUAUGAGUUAGUGAUAGACUAAUUUCAAUUGGUAAUUUUUAGCCACUCACAUGGCUUGUUUCGAGAAAAAAGGAAAAUUUUCUGCUUAUUUUGAAGAUGCAUUUUUUUUACUAGAGUUUUUACUCAUCUUUCUAAUUUCAAGUGUAAAUUUGCACUAGCUAUUCUUUAUUUUAUGUCUAACUAUUGUAAUACAUAUAGAAUAAAUGAGUCUUUUCCUCAUGUUCUUACAUGAGAAACCAAACAAGUCAUAAAUGAUAAAUAUACUAUUUGAUACUUUAUUUUGGCUUCAAUGUUCAAUUUGGCACCUCAAUUUUUUUUGUCUCAAUUUGGUAUCUAAGUUUGGAUUUGAUUUUCACUUUAGUACGUACUUUUUUUUAAUUUCAUACUUGAGUUUUUUUUGUCAUACACCAAAAUUCCAUUAUAUGUCAAAAUUUUGGAUCCAUGAAUUUGCAUAGUUUUGAGUAGUUUGAAGGUUGGGAAUUAUUCUUAAAUAUAUAAUUAGAUUAUUAAAAUCGAUUAUAAGUAAUGUGAAUGAGUAAAGAUUAAGAUAUUUUAAUUUCAAGUUUGUUAUGUCGAAAGUUUCGAUUUCAAGAGAAUUUAGCUUAGGCCUAUGUUUUUAGAUAAUUUUGGUGAGUCCUUGGCUGAAUGUUGAUUGUGUUGUUGUGUGAAUUAUUUGGUUGAAGCUUUGGAAUCGUUAAGACCUUCUACGAGUAAAGAGAAAGGUAAGGAAAAGAUAGUUUGAGCUUUCGGCGUCUAGGUGAAAGCGUGAAUGGUGAGUGUUUGGAAUCGCUACUUGUAGACACGAUUAAUUGCGUUAAUUGGGAAUUUAGAAGUAGCCUAAACCUCUACUCUAAAUUCCGAGUGUAAGCUUUCUCAUACUAUUGAUUUAAUAUGUGAUUGUGUGUUGUGAAUUUGUGGAUUAAGAUAUGAUAUUAUAACAUGUGAAAUAAGCUUAUGAUGGUUAUUGUGAAAGAGUUGAUUGUGGGCAUGUUAUACGUGCCAAAUAACAGUGAUUAUGUUGUGUUUAUAAUGUGAAUAUGUGGUGAAAAGUGCAAAAAAUGGUAAGUAAUAUGUGUGUUUAAUAACGAAUAUUUUGGCCUUGUGAUUUUUGAGAUCGUUGGAUAUAGUUGACAUGCCAUAGGAUUGUGAGUACUCACCUAUAUAUGUUGUGUUUUGGGGGUGUUAAGGCCUGGGACAUUUUAGAAGAGAUAAGGGAAUGUGAGCUAAGCUCCAUUCACUGGGAUAUGUUGGUGUGUUGGAGAGUUUUAGCUAUAUGCUUCACUUUUGGGAUAUGUUCAACUCUACGAGUCAUUUGGUGUGUUGGAGAUCUAUGUAUCCGAUGUAUGGUGAUAGAGCCCACUUUUAUGUUUCAUAGCUCAAGUGCCAAAUUAUCAUUAAAUGUGAUUAUGUGUGAUGUGAUAUAAGCUUAAAUGAGUUUGUGACUUCUAUGUAAACGACCAUUUGAAUAAUGCAUGAUUAAGUAAUAUGACGCUAAAGUUGGAAAUGUUGUAAUUGGGCUAUAUGAAUGCUUUGUUAAUGCAUGAUGACAUGUUUGCGUAAUAGUUAUUCUGAUCAUUCACUGAGCUUGUUUAAGCUCAUCCACUCCUUUUUAAACCUUUGCAGGCUGUUAAGCAUUGCGGUGUGAGCGGUGCGAAAUAUUUUCCAAUGGACUAAUCUAAGUAGUUUAGCAUUUGAGUAGGUGAAUUAUAGUAUUAUUCUGAACUGUGGGAAUAAGGCAAUGUAGUAGACUUGUUGCUUGAAUGCUGCCAUGAUGUUUUGGGAUGAUUACUUGGACUUGCUACUCACAGAAUUUAUAGACGUUUGACAUUGGUUUAUUGGUAUUACUUAGCUUAAACUAUUGUUGAUGCUUUGAGUUGUAUUUCCGGAUCAUUUUGAUGCUAAACUUUGAGCUUAUAAAUGCAUGAUUAGUUGGUAUGUUAGAUGUUCUAGUUUGAUGUUAUUUUUGUUGAAUUAUGCAGAGGUAUCGAUAACUAGGACAUAUGUAUUGAUACCUGUGUAAUUUAGUCGGUGUCGCAACAUCUAGUGCUUGUGUCGCGAUACUGAAGACAGUAUGCUCGAUUCCUGAUUCAGCCCCAGUAGUGUGUCGCGACAUCAAAGGCAGUCUUGGUAUAUGUGUAAAGCUUUGAUGUUUGAUGUAGCUUCCUGUUACUUGGGUUUGACAAUUGGGCUGAGUACGGGAUGUUACAUUUUUUUGUCCUGGUUAAGUACCUUAAUUUGGCUUCAAUUUUCAUUUUAGUAUUUGAGCUUUUUAUGUCCCAAUUAAGUGCCUAUUUUCUUUUUUACUAGAGCACACAUGCCAAAUAUUAGUUGGGCCACAUGAUAUUUGGCUUAGGUACCAAAUUGGACAUUGAAGCCAAAUUCUAGUACCAAAUUGAAAAAAAAAACCUCAAGUGUCAAAUUAAAUAUUAAAUUCAAACUUAGGUACCAAAUGAUAUUUUAAAGCAAUAUUAAAUCCAUGACCUUAAAGUAUUUAUUAACCCAAUUACCCAAACUUCAUUGGUAUUGAACUUAAAAAAACUUAGCCUUUAACAUUUAUAUUUUAUAUUUCUUUUUGUCAAUUUGACCCUUAUUUUAUUUUUAAACUAAAUUUGACCUUCAACCUUUUAAAAAGAGUAAAAUUUGACCAUCAAUCUUUCAAAAAGAGUUGAAUUGUUUUUUUAAUGGAAAAACUGACUAAAACAUUAAAUUUUUAAACAUUGUAGAUUAUAUGGCAAUUCACGUGUACUUCAUACUAUUUUUUAAAAUUUUAUGAACUUUUUAUAUUCUUUAAUUUUAAUUUGUUUAAUAUUUUAUAAAUUUUAAAUUAUUUGUUGAUGUAACAUAUAAGAUAAAUAUUGUUAUGUUAGCAUGUAGUACACAUGGAUUGUCAUGCAGGUUGCCAUACCAAUAUUGUUACAAAAAGUUAAUGUUUUAGUCAAUAUUUUUGUUAAAAAAAGUGAGUUAACUCUUUUUGAAAUAUUAAUGACCAAAUUUAGCUAAAAAAUAAGACUAAAAUUAAUAAAAUAUAUAAACAUUGAGAAUUAAAUUUAGGCAUAAUAAUUUUUUGGGCCUUCCAACUUUACAAAAGAAGUCAUUGUAGCUCUUCAUUUAUUUUUCGUCUUUUUUAACACUUGAACUUGCGGUUUUUUUUUUUGUCAAGUCACCCAAAAAUGAAUGGAAAUGUUAACAUUUAUUUAACAUUGUUGACAUUGCAUAUAUGUGGAUUACCAAGUGGAUAACACAUUAACAUUUAAUUAUUUUUUAAAAUUUUUAAAAAUAUUUUUAAAAAAUUAUAAUUUUUAAUAAGUUUUAUGAUUUUAAAUUUAUGAGGUGAUAUAGAAAGAAACCUACCUCAUUUGGACUUUCACUUUGUAUGCAAAAUCUUGGCCAAGUCGCCGUACAUAAGUUUAACAGUAGGUUAAAAUAACGAUCUUGGAAGAAUAGUAACUUGUUGUCAUUAAGGCAUAUCUUGAAAUUUUAUGGAUAUUAUUAAGAUUUCAAUAAAGUAGGCAAAACAGUACAAUAUGACACAUAGUUUAGAGUCGUCCAAAGGAAAUUCUACAGAGCUUAGGGAUAUUUUAGGAAGAUAUGGGAAUGAUAGGCUUUUAAGUUGUUAGUUUAGUUAGUGUUUUUCAACAUUAUAUUUCUAUUUUGGUGAAUUACAAGAAGAGAGUAAAGUCCUAAUAGCAACGCGACUAACACGAUUCAAACCCAGACCAUACCUGCGGCAGUAAACACUUUGAUCAUCAAGUCAACACAUUAGGUUCUCAACAUUGCAUCUUUACAUUUUGUAUUAGAGUUAACAAACUGGUUGAAAAAAUGUCCCUAAAAGUAUAUCAAAUGCCAACACUAUAAUUAGUAAAUUAGAUAAAAAAAUUUCUAUAGCAAGAACUAUAAAAAUUUAUAUUUAUCUACUGUGAGAUAGAAAAAAAAAAGCAAGAAUCACCAUUUCCAUUUUUUAAAAUAAUUUUUACCAUGUUCUAAUAAUUUCUUUUAUUUUUUAUAUUUUAAAAGAAUUAUGCCUACAAAUUAUAAUGAAACAUGGAUAAAAAGAUGUCCAUAUUUAAAUAAAUUUAGAUGUCUAUUUAUCUAUAUUCAUUUUCAAUUUGAAUUUUUAAUAUUUUUUUUUGUUAAAUUGAACUGCUAUGUCAAUAUCAUGAUGGUUGAUUAACAACCAUAUUAAUGUGGUAAUAAUUAAUGGUGAGAUUAAUUAGUCAACACGCCUAAUGAAGAUAAUUAAUAUUUUUUUAGAGAAAAUUUCAACUUGUAGGACCAUUUACCUUUAUUUUUUUCUUGGGGUGGUUGAUUAUCUUUUCUUCUUUUGUUGCUUUGACUUGUAUAAAUUUUCGGGUAAUAUACAAAUAAAAGCCCUUUUUUUUAAAAUUUACUAAAAUAGGUCAGGUAAAAAAUUAAUUACUGGAAUUACUCUAUUUCCCCGAAAACGCGUCCACGUCAACGCGUUGUCAGGGUUUUGGGUUUUGGGUUUAGGGUUUGGGUUUUUGGGUUUUUAGGUUUAGGUUUUUAAAGAAAAAAUUAAAUAAAUAAGGGAUUAGGGUUUAGGGUUUCUUAAUUAAAUUAAUUAUAAAUUUUUCAAAAUUAGAUUAGGGUUUCGCGUUUAUGGUUUUUAAAGAAAAAUCAAUUAAAUUAGGGUUUAGGGUUACUUGAGUAAAUUAAUUAAAAAAAUUUUAAAAAUUAGAUUAAGGUUUAGUGUUAAGGGUUUUUAAGGAAAAAUCAAAUAAGUUAGGGUUUAGGGUUAUUUAAGUAAAUUAAUUAUAAAUUUUAAAAAAAUUAGAUUAGGGUUUAGUGUUUAAGGUUUUUAAGGAAAAACUCAAAUAAAUUAGGGUUUGGGGUUUAGGAUUACUUAAUUAAAUUAUUUGUUAAUUGAGAAAAGCUCCCACGUGGACGCUCUUUUGCUACAGUAGCUCCUGAAAAAAUAAAUUCGAGGAGACGUUUCUGAGCAAAUAGUGUCAAAAACGCUUUAAGCAGGAUGCAUUGUCAGCAAAAGUAUUGAAAAAAGCUCCCACGUGGACGCGCUUUUACUACAGUAGCUCCUGAAAAAAUAAUUUCGAGUAGACGUUUCUGAGUAAAUAGUGUCAAAAACGCUUUAAGUAGGAUGCUUUGUCAGCAAAAGUAUUGAAAGAAGCUCCCCCGUGGACGAGCUUUUGCUACAGUAGCUCCUGUUUGGCCUGAGGCUAUAAAUGAGGCAAAAUUUUUUCUCAGAUUGCAUAAGUUACAGCAAAAAAAAUUAGAGAGCCUAAGAAGGAUAGAAAUUGAAGAUGAGUGAAUGUAUUAGUGUUGUUAUUUACUAUGAUGGUGAGGUUCGUCACACUGAGAACGGUGUUAUUUUUUUAUCGGAGAAUACAGUGCGACUGGUUUUUAACCAGAACAUAGAUUUGAUAGAACUUCAUAAAAGAAUUAGGCGUAAAAUAUUAGAAACGACGUCAAUGAAAGUUUUAUCUAUUACGUAUCGGUUUUGUUCUUCUGUUGAUCCGGUGACAUAUGACUCGUUCGACAUAAAAUGUGCUCGUAGCUUGGAGGCAAUGGUAUAGACACAUCUCGCUAGUGGAGCACACUAUAUUGAGUUAUAUGUACAAUUUACAUCGCCAAAUGAUGCACUUGCGACUGCUGUUCGAGAGGUAUACACGACUCCUGCCUGACACUCGGUUAGUGGGUUACAAAACACGAAACAACCCAUGUUUGGCAGCGGUAUGGUAUACACAACCCUUGUUUGACACCCUGUUAGUGGAUAGGACAUGCACCACGGUAGGUCGAUGUUUGAUGCUGGAAAUACGUACUGGGGAACGGCAUCAACUUCUAGUGGUUGGCAAUCUACAUUCAAUUGGGGACGUUAUGAAAUGCCCAGAAGAAUGGAUAAUAUACUCCCUACGAUGUCCACCGGUGAGGAGACCUCGUACGUUGCAGAUGAUGGUGGGUUAGAAGAUGACUCCAAUGUGGAUCCACCUCAAGAGCCCGGGGUUUGCGAUCGAGACAACUUAUGGUUUCGCGUGACAGAGUUUGACAGACCGCACCAAGGUGUUAUUGGCAGGCAAUAUCGUGUACACUUGCGAAAUAGGACUUGCGACUGUGGGAUGUUUGACGCACUUCGUUAUCCAUGCGCUCAUGUAAUUGUAGCUUGUCAUAAUCUCCGUCUGAAUUCGAUAAGUUAUGUCGACGAAGUGUACAAAUUAGAAAACAUGUACAACGUCUGGAGACACGUAUUCCAACUGAUCCCAGAUGAACGUAAGUGGCUGUCUGUAUUGCUUGCUCCCUUUAAGCUGUUACCGGAUAGAGAAUUGCGUCGCAAACCAAAGGGUCGAUCUUGCUCGACAAGAAUACGUAACAAUAUGGAUAUUCGAGAAACAGCCAGUCAACAGACGUUGUGCGGAUGGUGUAGGAACCUAGGCCAUUCAUGCCGAUCAUGCCCAAAUCACAAUAGUUGAACGUUAUUGUAAAAAACUUUGUAUUAUUUAUAUUUUUUAAAUCAAAUAAUAUAGAAAUAUUCAGAAUACUGACUUAUUUAAAAGAAAAUCUAUUUUAUUAAAAAUAAUAAAGUAAAUUACAAAUACUUUAUUCAAAACAAUGUUUUAUUUUAUUAAAUGAAAUAAUAUAGAAAUAUUCAAAAUAUUGUGUUAUUUAAAAGAAUUUCUAUUAUAUUAAAAAUGUAAAUGUAAAUUUCUAUUUUAUUACAUGAAAUAAUAUAGAAGAAUUUCUAUUUUAUUACAUCAAAUAAUAUCAAAAUAUUCAAAAUAUUUGUACAAAUAUAUUAAAAUAAAAAUCAAUCUCCGUGCCCACCGAAUUCAGUGCCACAUGGUGGCCAUCGAUGGUUACGCGCUGGAUUCCUCAUUUGUCUAGCUUCCGGUGGGGGUUAUGGUUGUUCCCACGGGGAUUCUGGUUCCUCCGGUAGGGGAUAUGGUUGUCGGUGUUGGGAUGAUGAGCCACCUUGAGAGAAUAGUGAUUGUGGAGGUGUUUGCAUCACCAACGGCAAAGCUGUUUGAAACCCAUAUGGUGAUGGGGAUUGGUAAAAAGAAGAGCUCCCCGACGGCCCCUCCUACGAUCCCUCGUGCGACGGUGGCCUAUACAUCGGUGGCCCACUCGGCGUAAUCGAAAAUGGAGAUGAACCGGACCAUGAACUUUAACCUGUCAUAGGACUAAAAAAAGGAAACAUAUAAGGGUUAGGAUAAAUAAAAGGGCUAGGAUACGCACCUGGCAUCAUCUGAAAAGGUUGUGCUGUGGGUGUCGUCAGUUGAAGUGUUAGGCUGGUGACUGUGUGGAUGCUGUUGCUGGGCCUGGUGAUGGGCCGUGUGAUUGUGAUAGACCUACGUCGUCAUCCCUUCUUCUUGGAUUUAAAGGGCCACGUCGUUCCCUUUGAACACGUAAUUUCUGCUGCCUUUCCUCUGUCGACAGUAAAUACGGCUUGCCAUGGAUUCUAAACCAUUGCAUGUAUUCUGGCACGCACGCUAACUCUAGAAGGAUGAUCGGUUCUCAAGUAGGUAUAUAAUCAUAUUGAUCUUCCUAUAUUUGGAUGUAGUGUGACCAGAAUCUCGGUCAAACCGUAUGCAAUUGCCAUAGGUCGAUUUUGUGAUGAUCAUCCAACACCUCAGGUGCCACGGGAAUCGGUUGUCAUAAUCCAAAUUGUUGUAAUACUCUGUCCGACUGGUGUAUCUCCACGGUCGCAAAGUUGACCAAUGAGACUUUUACAUACCAAGCGUUUGGAUUUUGGAAAUACUCAUUCGGAAUUACAGCUCGAAUUGCCGGAUCCUUGUAUGGUGUCCAUUGGAACUAUAUGAACAUGAUGGAAAUAUUAGUUAUAUACAUAAUACUAAAUACUAAAUACCAAAUACCAAUCGACUAUCUCAUGAUGGAAAUAUCUAUUUGAUUUAAUACUUACUUGUGCUUCCGACAGUUGGUCUAAUAGAAGCCGUAUAUCUUCAAGAAAGGUAGGUAAUCCAACAUAACUUGCCGAAUAGUUCCACCUAAUUAAAUAAAUUUUUAGCAUACGAUUAUAUUUUAAAUCUACGUAAUAAUUGUAAAAUAUAAUAUAAAAUUUACCUCGUUAUGAGUGCGAAUGUAUAUUGGUGGUCCACUUGAGGACGUAAAAGUGGAAAGCGAAACCGUGCCCAUGACUGCAGUAGUGAUAGGCAACCUCCAAUUUUCAUUUUAUUCGGUCGCGUCACCCCGCACAUCUUCCGGUACAAUGUUGCCUACAUGGUAGACCCCCGACUAAAUUCAACAGCUGCUCUAAAAUCAACGAGUUUUAGCAGCCAUCUCAGAUGUACAAGGCUCCGUGACAAGUCCGGUAUCAGAUAACCUCCAAUUAUCUGAGGAAUGUUUGCCCGAGCAUAUCAGAUUCUUUCUAGUUCGGUAGAAUUAUCAUUCGGCUCCGGAAAUGUGUCUCGUAGCCUGCCCAUCUCAAUCCGACCUCUGUUAAUAUUAUCCGGAAUAGCACCCAAAAGCUCGUAGCAUACCGCUCCCCAAUCACCAGAUUGAACAGACCCAGUGACUGCGUACCUGUCCACCGGCAAUCCCAAUUGCAAAUUUACGUCUUCCAAAGUAAUAGUACACUCUCCACAUGGAAGAUUGAAUGUGUGCAUCUCGGGUCUCUACCUCUCAAUCAACGCACUGAUAAGUUUUGGGUCCAACUUGCAUCCCUAGUCUACCGUCGCCACGUGCCAAAAACCUGCUUCCCAUAGGUAAUUCUCUACCAACGGUGAUGGAGGACCAUGCAUAUUACGAAUAUAGCAUUGCAAUAUCCGAUCUAUAGACUUUUAUAAGAAAUAAUAAAAUAAAAAUUAUUUAAAAUUGCAUAAAUCAAAAAAAUCUUAAAUAAUUUUUAAAAAUUAAAUUUAACACUUACCAUUUUCAUUUGUUCAACGGAUAUGUGAUUGUUAUCGAGACGAAUUAAUUUUCUGGCCAUUGCUAACACGAUCAAAUUUUUAUGAUUUAAAAAAAAUCAAAAAAAAUAAAACUAAAUAUUUUUUAAAAAUAAUUAAAAAAUUAAAGUUUUUUUUAGAGGAAUUUGAGAGAAUAUUGGAGAGAAAUUGAGAGAAAGGAUUUAGGUGUGAAAAAAAUAGAAGGGGGUUUUAUAGUUUUUUUUACCGUUGGGGGGUCACCAACAGUCAAAAAGUAGCCGUUGGUAUUGAUCACGCGCGGGCAAGGACGCGCUUUCUGUCCACGUGGACAAAGCGCUUCCUUGAGGAAGUGUUUUCCUGCCUCGUCACCUGACAACGCGCUAACGUAGAUGCGUUUUCGGGGUUAUUUCGGUAAUUAAUUUUUUACCGGGCCCAUUUUAGUAAUUUUUUAAAACAUGGGCUGUUAUUAGUAUUUUGCCUUAAAUUUUCAUUUGUUAUCAUAAAAUUAGUGUUAUAAUUAUUUUGUCACUGUCAAACAUAGAAUGGCGGUCUCUUUUUUCUCUUUUACUAUGUGCAAUUGGGGCAAAUUACCAAUAAAAGUCCCUUUAUUUUUAAAAUUACCGAAAUGGGCCAGGUCCUGAAUUAAUUAUCGAAAUGGGCCAUUUCCCCCAAGAAUGUGUCCACGUCAGCGCGUUGUCAGGGGAUAAAGCAGGAAAACACUUCCUCAAGGAAGCGCUUUGUCCAUGUGGACAGAAAACGCGUCCACAUGGAUAGAAAACGCGUCCUUUAGGGCGCGCUUUGUGUCCACGUGGACAAAGCACUUCCUUAAGGAAGCGUUUUCCUCGUGUCUGCUACAGUACCAACGGCUAUUUUUUUUACCAUUGGUAAUCCUCCGAUGGUAAAAAAAAAAAACUAUAAAACCCCCCUUUCUUUUUUUUUUCACACUUAAAUCAUUUCCAUCUUCAAUCUUUCAAUAUUCUCCCAAAUUUCUCUCAAAUUUCUCUCAAAUUCCUCUCAAAGCUCUGUUUAAUUUUUUUUUAAAAGCUCUAAUUUUAUUUUUUUGGAUUUAUUUUUUUAAAUAAAAAAACUUGAUCGUGUUAGCAAUGGCCGGAGAAUUAAUCGUCUCGAUGAUAAACACAUAUCCGUCGAACAAAUGAAAAUGGUAAGUGCUAAAUUUAAUUUUUAAAUAUUAUUUAAGAUUUUUUUCAUUUAUGCAAUUUUAAAUAAUUUUUAUUUUAUUAUUUCUUAUAAAAGUUUGUAGAUCGGAUAUUGCAAUGCUAUAUCCGUAAUAUGCCUGGUCCUCCAUCACCGUUGAUAGAGAAUUACCUGCGGGAAGCGGGUUUUUGGCACGUGGCGACGAUAGGCCAAGGGUGCAAGUUGGACCCAAAACUCAUUAGUGCAUUGAUAAAGAGGUGGAGACCGAGACGCACACAUUCCAUCUUCCAUGUGGAGAGUGUACUAUCACGUUAGAAGACGUAAAUUUGCAAUUAGGAUUGCAGGUGGACGGGUACGCAGUCACCGGGUCUGUUCAAUCUGGUGAUUGGGGAACGGUAUGCUACGAGUUUUGGGUGCUAUUCUGGAUAAUGUUAACGGAGGUCGGAUCGAGAUAGGUAGGUUACGAGACACAUUCCUGGAGCUGAAUGAUGGUUCUACCGAACUAGAAAGAAUAUGAUAUGCUUAGGCAUAUAUUCUUGAGAUAAUUGGAGUUUAUAUGGUGCCGGACUUGUCACGAAACCUUGUACAUCUGAGAUGGCUGCUGAAACUCGUUGAUUUUAGAACAGCUGGUGAAUUUAGUUGGGGUCUGUCGUGUUGGCAACAUUGUACCGAGAGAUGUACGGGGUGACGUGACCAAAUAAAGAGAAAAUCGGAGGUUGCCUAUCACUACUGCAAUCAUGGACACGGUUUCACUUUCUAUUUUUACGUCUUCGAGUGGUCCACCCUAUACAUUCCCACUCAUAACGAGGUAAAUUUUAUAUUAGAUUUUACAAUUAUUACGUAUAUUUAAAAUAUAAUCAUAUGCUAAAAAUUUAUCUAAUUAGGUGGAACCAUUCGGCAAGUUAUGUUUGAUUACCUACCUCUCUUGAAGAUAUACGGCUUCUAUUAGACCAAUGGUCGGAAGCAGAAGUAAGUAUUAAAUAAAAUACAUAUACAUAAUGAGAUAAUCAAUUCGUAUUUAGUAUUUAGUAUUUAGUAUUUAGUAUUAUGUAUAUAACUAAUAUUUCCAUCAUGUUCAUAUAGUUUCAAUGGACACCAUACGAGGAUCCGGCAAUUCAGGUAGUAAUUUUGGAUGAAUACUUGCAAAAUCCGAACGCUUGGCUUGUGAAUGUCUCAUUGGUCAACUUUGUGGUCGUGAAGAUGCACCAGUCAGACAGAGUACUACGAUAAUUUGGAUUUUGACAACCGAUUCCUGCGGCACCUGAGGUGUUGGAUGAUCAUCACAGAAUCGACUUAUGACAAUUGCAUGCAGAUUGGCCGUGUAACAGCCCGAUUCUGGGCCUAGUCGGAACAGUGGUUUCGGGACCACAAAUCCAACGAGGGAAAACAUUAUUGUCAUUAUAUUUUUAUGGUCUACAAUUUCAUAGAAAAACUUUGUAAAAAUUUCGUUCGAAAAUUUCGACGUUUGGGCACUCAAUUUAGUCAAAAGGACUGAAUUGUAAAAAGUGCAAAAGUUGAUUUCUACAUGUUAGAAGUGUCUAAUUGUUAUGAAAUUAUAAAUUGGGGGUCCUUAUAUGGUAUUUAGACCAUUAGUUAAUUGAUGGACAAAAAUAGACAUAAGAAAUGGGUGAAAUAGAUUUUUUUAAAUGGAGGCAUUUUAGUCAUUUGGUAAUAAAAAGAAUAAAAAGGGAAAAAGAUGGCAAAAAAUCAUCAUCUUCUCCAUAAGUUGCUACCGAAACUUGGAAGACACCAUAGCUAGGGUUUCUUCACUUUCUCAAGCUCAUAGUAAGUGCAUCCUAGCCCCGUUUUUAAUGUUCUUCUCAUUUUUGAUAUCCUCGUAGCUCGGUUUAGCUUAUUCUACCAUUAAUUCAUGUUAGGGUGCAUAUUUGGAAAAAUACCCAUAGGUGAAAUAUGUUUAUUUUACUGUUUUAUGGUAGAAUAUGGAGCUACAAAUUAUGUUAAACAACUUUUGCUAAGCGAUUUUAAGUAAAAACGGGUAAAUUGACAUANNNNNNNNNNNNNNNNNNNNNNNNNNNNNNNNNNNNNNNNNNNNNNNNNNNNNNNNNNNNNNNNNNNNNNNNNNNNNNNNNNGUAAAACAUAAGAAUAAGGUGUGAAAUUUAAUUUUCGAGCCUAGGGAUGAAAAUGGAAAUAUGCAAAAUUUUGGGGGUAAAAUUGUAAUUUUUCAAAAAGUUGAGUGGAGGACUAUUUUAAUAAAUGUGAACAUUAAAUGAGUUAAAUUUUUUAUUAUAGAUCAAGAAAUACGAGAAGAUAAUCUCAAACGGGGAAAAGAGAAGGUUGUGGAGUAAAUUGCAAAAUUACGAUAUUUUGCACCGAGGUAAGUAAACAUGUGAAUUAAUGUAUUAUUUUGUUAUGAUUUAAUAUAUGUUGAGAUUUAAUUGAACAUAGAAUAAAUAUUUGGCAUAGAUCCUAAAAAUGUGGUUAAGUUGGGAAAGGUGGCAAAGUAUUGAAAAACGAGGUUUCCGGUUGAACACUCGGAUUAAGCCGGAGUAUAUUGAAUAUAAAGGGGGUUGCUGAGUGCUGAUUCCCCCAAGGGGUUGCUAAGUGCUGAUUCCCCGAACCAUUGGUGGUUGUUAAGUGCUGAUCCCACCGUAUCUUAAAUGUGAAAGGGGUUGCUAUGUGCUGAUUCCCCGAAUCAUUGGUGGUUGCUAAGUGCUGAUCCCACCGUAUCUUAAAUGUGAAAGGGGUUGCUAAGUGUUGAUUCCCCGAUUCAUUGGUGGUUGCUAAGUGCUGAUUCCACCGUAUUUUUGAAUGUGAAAGGGGUUGCUAAGUGCUGAUUCCCCGAAUCACUGGUGGUUGCUAAGUGCUGAAUCCAUCGAUAACGGAUAACAUUCCGAGUGUUCAAUGGGAAACUGGAAAGGUGAAUAUUUAUAUAUGGUGGACAAGGUUAUGUGAGGAAUAUUGGGUUUGAUACUUAAUCAACCCAUGUGUAAGGUGAAAGGAAAUACCAAAACUUCAAAAGAACAAAUUUAAAUAUAAAACUGUUUUGUAUAAUAACAGUUGGGCAAAUUUGAAAAAUCACCAUAAAUGGUGGAAAAAAAAUUAGAGGCUGGAUAAUAUAUGAAAUUGAAUCUGAAUAAGUCUAUUUUUGUAUGAAAGAAACAUAGCAAGCAAAAGAGUUCUGUAUUUGGGGAUAUUUAAAUUUUAUUGAGACAGGAUUAGAUUGAUUUCGAAAUCCCCUGUUUCAACUUCGGAAAAUCACCAAAAAUUGUAAAAAACUUAUUAUGGCUUGAAAUUUACAUGCUUGAACUCCUUGGUGAUUCUUUUUUUAAUAGAAACAAACAAGAACAUUGUUUGAAUUUUUUACAGAUAGUUAAGUGAAUUUUAGUAAGGAGAGGUCAGAAUUGUUAGGCACUGAAAUAAGGUAAUAUUUAGAGAAUAAACUGUACUAAUUGGAUAAACUAAAAAUUCUAAAAAUUUUAUGGUGGAAAGAUAUAUGAGUCUAGUUUUGGGGAAAAUUUACGGAAUUCAAUUUGGAGCCUUGUAACUCCAGAUAAAAAUAAAUUAGUGACCAUGACGCAGAAAAACAGUUUGCUUGAAAUUGAACAAACAAUGAAAUUUAUGUGUGAUAAAAAUUAUGUCACUAUGUAAUCUUGUGAGAAAUUUAUUUAUUUGUCAUAUGUUUACUUACUAAGCUAUAUGCUUACUCAUCUUUAUUUUUCCCCUGAUUAUAGUGACAUCAGCCAGCUCGGAAUUUGAACGAAGUUUAAAAUCAUCCACACUGUCAUCAACUUUUUGAGGUAUUUUGGCAAUCAACACUUUUGAAACAUGGCAUGUAUAGAUGACUUUAUGUAUUGUGGUAUAAAUAUGUAUAUAUAGUAAUGUUCGGUUCAAUAUGUUGGUGUUUAUUAAUGGAUAAAUUAUGUCUGAUUAUAUAAUUGUAAUUGGUUGGAAAUAUUGAAGUUAUUUGAAGUUGUCUUUGGAAAUUUACAGGGGGUUUUAUGUAAAAAUAAGCAGAAAUGCUGCCGAAAUUUUUAUAAAAAAAAUUUAUAAGUAUUUGAGUUCUAGUAAUACUUCAUACUCUGUUUUGGUAAGGAACAUGGGUAAGGGGUGUUACAGGCCGAGAUUCUGGUCACACUAUAUCCAAAUGUGGGAAGAUCAGUAUGAUUAUAUACCUACUGGAAUACAUGUCAUAGUAUAGGAUCCAUGGCAAGCCAUAUUUACUGUCGGAAGAGGAGAGGCGGCGACAAUUGCGUGUCCAAAGGGAACGACGUGGCCCUUUAAAUCCAAGAAUCCAGCGCGUAACCGUUGAUGACCUCCAUGUGGCACUGAAUUCGGUGGGCACGAACAUUGAUUUUUAUUUUAAUAUAUUUGUACAAACAUUUUAAAUAUUUUUAUUUUAUUUCAUGUAAUAAAAUAAAAGGUUGUUUUGAAUAAAGUAAUUGUAAUUUACUUUUAUAUUUUUAAUAAAAUAGAAAUUCUUUUAAAUAAGGCAAUAUUUUGAAUAUUUUUAUAUUAUUUCAUUUAAUAAAAUAUAAAUAAUACAACAUAGUUUUUUACAACAACUAUCAACUAUUGCGAUUUGGACAUGAUCUACUUGUAUAGUCUGGGUUCCUACACCAUCCGCACAAGUUUUGUUGAUUGGUUGUUUCUCGGAUAUCCAUAUUGUUACGUAUUCUAGUCGAGCAAGGUCGACCCUUUGGUUUGCGAUGCAAUUCUCUAUCCGAUAACAACUUAAAGGGAGCAAACGAUACAGACGGCCACUUACGUUCAUCUGAGACUGGUGGGAAUACGUGUCUCUAGAUGUUAUACAUGUAUUCUAAUUUGUACACUUCGUCGACAUAGCUCAUGGGAUCCAGACGGAGAUUCUGACAAAUUGCAAUUACAUGAGCGCAUGGAUAAUGAAGUGCGUCAAACAUCCCAUAGUCGCAAGUCCUAUUUUUCAAGUGUACACGAUAUUGCCCGCUAGUAAUACCUUGGUGCGGUCUGUCAAACUCCGUCAAACGAAACCAUAAGUUGUCUCGAUCGUGACACACUGUGUGCAUGGUGUUCACUCGCGCAUUCGCCUUGUUAAUUUCUUGCAAUCCCUUCCUGCACCAUACAUGGGCUCCCUGUAUUUGGCUUGCAUAACUCGCUGCUCGCUUUGGAAAUAGCACUGCUAAACGAAAAUAUAUCUCUCGCACAAUCGAUGUUAUCGGUAAAUGACCCAUUUUUUUUAGAACAUAAUUUAUGCAUUCAGCUAGGAUUGAGGUCAUAUGACCAUAUUGUAGGCCGCUGUCGUAUGCUUGUUUCCAUUGUUCGAAAGGUAUGUUACAGAGGUAGUCUGCGCCUUCGUCGUUAACUGAACGCAAAAUUGCCAACAUCUCAUGAAAACGGUUUUUACUUAUUUCAUACCCUGCCAAUAUAAAUUUAUAGCGAAUAUUACAUACCACUCUUUCAUUUAGAAUAAAUUCAAAAUGACAAAAGAUAAUUAUAUUAAUAGAGACUAAAUACCCAUGUUGGUCACUUGUCGUUAUUCACUUUUAGAUGGAUAUUGCCUAUAGUAGUUGGAAGCAACGUGCCUUAGGCAAUACCGAUGGUGUGUGCGCUGCCAUAGGCUUUCCUGUCGCUCAAUAGCAGCUAGUAUUUCGGUGCCCCGAUCUGAAAUAACACAGAUAUCAGGUUGGGGGCACACAUGUCUCCUUAACCUAGAUAGAAAAAAAUUCUAGUCAUCAGCUGACUCUCCCGGUGUUAUUGCAAACGCAAUUGGAAGAAUUCUCCUACUACCAUCCUGUUCCACUGCUAGCAAUAGUCGAUGGGUAUAUCUACCAAACAUAAAGGUACUGUCAAUUUGUACCAAUGGCUUGUACUAUAGAAUUACGUCUCGGCAUUGCUUAAAGGUCCAUAACAGACGUUUGAACACUUGGCAUCAAUAGAACAAUCAGUCGUUGUAGUACGCACGUUUCGUUUCAAGGUCUGUUAUGCAACCUGGGACGUAUCUCUCUAGCACUUGACACCACUGCCAUAUUUCAUUAUAUGAAGCGUCCCACCCACUAUGCAUCUUCUCCAACGCCUUCUGCUUAACUAUCCAAGCCUUGAGGUAAGAGGGCGUGUACCCCAUUUGGCUACGAAUAUUGGCAAUUAAGACCGACACUGAAGUCCUAGGAUCUGCCUUCAUCGUGGGUAGUAUUAAGCUAGCUAACAUAGCUGAAUCCAUCUUGGGAUGAUCUUGUGAAAUACCUGUCAACGAAGUACAUUAAAUAAUACAAUAUUACAUAAUAACAGUAUUAUUCAAAAACCCUAAAUACUAUACCUGUAGCACAUAUAUGUAGACCUUUGUACUUUUUUAUCUCCCACAAACUUGUCCUUUUCCUCAACGAGGCAUAGAUUUUCCAUGAACAUGUACCAUCUUACACUACACACUUCACCUCAAACUUAUCAGAUUUGGAUUUAACCACGUGGUAGUUAACGCCAUUAUUGAUGAUAUGUUGUUUCAAUGCACCAAGAAAACUAUACUUAUUGGAAAACUCCUAACCAACUUCAAAUUCACCCGAAUCCAAUAAUGAACUUGUACGAUCACGCAUUUUGUGUUGUAGAUCUGGAAACUCCAACGCAUCAUCUGCAGAUAGAUCGACAUUAUGCAUGUGGGCUGGAGGCGAGUAUGCCCUGAAUCGUGGAUCUUCUUCUUCAUCUAAACACCUUUCAACAUCUUCAGGUUCGGUUGGAAUAUGCUCCGGUUCAAAAAAUAAUACAACUUCUGCACUAUCAGGGCUAGGCUCUCGAGGUGGAUCUACAUCAGACUCAUCUUCUAACCCACCAUCAUCUGCAACGUACGAGGUCCCUCACCGGUGGACGUCGUAGGGAAUACAUCAUCCCUUUUUCUAGGCAUUUCAUAACAUCCCCAAUUGUUUGUAGAUUGCCAACAACUAGAAGUUGAUGCCGUUCCCUAGUACGUAUUUCCAGCAUCAAACAUCAAAAAUCGAUACCUAGUGUCGAAACCAUUUUUUUUUGUAAAAAAGGGUCUACUUUUAUCUUGAAAAUGAAAACGAAAAAAGGGGAGUCGCCACCAAUCCUUUUUAUUUAGGUGUGAUCGGAUCACCUCAUAAUUUAACCAUUUUAAUAAAAGUUUAAAUUUACUAAAACGAUAAUUUUUGGUCUACAAAAUUCAUAAGACGGGUUCGGGAGUCGAUUACGCAUGACGAAGGAUUAGCACCCUCGAUACGCCCAAAAUUGGUACCUAGUUGAUUACUUAAUGUCUUAAUGUCGAAAGUUAAAAUUUUGAAAAAGAUUUUAAAAUAUGAUUCCUUUUUUUAAUGAUGUUAAUUUUAAAAACGCUUGAAUUAAAUCGAAACGAAUGUCAAAGACCUCUCGUCUCGAGAUAAUAAAUGUCACAUCCUGUAAGUUAGGACACGACACUUGGAACCCUCGAGAAUAAGCUAGCCUUUAACUUUUAUUGGAAUUUCGUAAACUUUGAAAAUUAGAAGGAUAUUUUUCUAUUUAGGUUCAACAAGAAAAUUAAAACCCCGUAAGUUAGGGUAUAAUUUCUCAAAUCUCCAAAACACGAAAUAUUGCCUUAUUUUAAAACUUUUCCUUUUUUGAGUAAUUGCAAGUACAAUACUUGAACGAGGUGCAUUUGUUUUAUUUGUGACAAAAUAGAACGGUUUAUUAUGGUAUUUACAAAUCGAACGAAACUUUUUAAAUGAUGCAAUGAAAUGGAACGAUAACAUAGAACAUAAAAUAACAAUUUGUGAAUAAAAUGUUACGCUAAUGAGUGGCAAUAAUAUGAGAAUAAAUAAACAAGUUAUGGUACACAUAAUGAUAAUAACCACACAACAUGCAUCAUUUUAAAAAUACCAAUAUUAAUAAUCAAAGUAAACGAAGCAAAAUAAUAUAGAAAACAAUUUCACGUAAAUAAUAGUCUAAAUAAAUAAUUUACGAGAACAAUAAAUGAUAAAAGAUUUCUAAUAAAUGAUAUAUAAAAACUUAGAAUGAAUAAUAAUACAAUAGUUUAAAGUAAAUAAUCAAGAAAAGAAAAAAAAUAUAAAACAAUUUUCCUUAAAACAAAUAAAUAAUAGUUUAAAAUAAAUAAUAUAAUAAAAACAUAUAUAAUAGUUUAAAAUAAAUAAUAUAAUAAAAACUUUUAAACAAAUAUUAAGUAAAACAGUUUAGAAUAAAUGAUAAAUAAAACCUUAAAACAAAUAAUAGUAAAAGAGUUUUUUUAAAUAAAAUAAACAAAUAAAUUAAAUAUACUAAGGAUGAUACUGAAAUCGAUCCAGAAUUUGGGGUUCAAAUUGAAAAUAAAUAAAAAAAAUGGGCUACUAGGGACUGAAAUAGAGCGCGCUUAAGGAAUGAAAGAUCGACCGGGCAAUAUUUCCAGCCCUCAUGCGCAGUAUUUCAGCGCGGACUAAAAUCAAACAAACUGAAAAUUAUGCAGCUAAAAUAAAAGGAACAAAUGGGGUCAAAUUGCACCACGUCAAACAAAUAGAGGGACCUAUUGCGCAAAUAGCCCCUUUACUGCAGAAACACACAGAUCCUGAGGGAAAACAGGUCGGUUUUCGGGUCUGAAGCCUAAACGACGUCGUUUUGGCCUCUAAGCUCACUCCUCAAAACGACGCCGUUUCAUGUUGCUAUAAAGGCCAAAUAUUUUUAAAAAUCCUUCUUUUUUCCCUUCUCUCUAAAAAAACAAAAUAGAAUUCUCUCAAGCCCCUUUUCCCUUCCCAAAAUCUAGCCAGGGGUCUGGCCAUCGGCCACCGUGCCGGCCGCCGAUCGCCGACAAUGGCACCACCAUCCGCGGUGGCCAAAAAAAGCCAAAGCCGCCCCUUUCGCUCCUCUUUUCGAGUAGAGCCCGGAUUUAGAGUUAAAAUAACCCAAAAGACCCUUAAAGUUCGAAAAAAAGAAGAGAAAAGGAAAAAAAAAAGGGACUUUUCAGUUUCCCAUUACUGCCGGUGGGGAUUCGGCGAGCCCACUGGCUCAAUCACCCUCAACACCGGGGAAACCUCCGACUACGGCCACAAAGGUAACAAAUCUCGCUCCUUUAUUUAUUUUAUAUUUUAUAUUAUUUAUUAUUUCGAAUAAAAAUAAAUAUAUAUAAAAAGACCUUGAUUUUCUCUGUUUCAAACUCCUUUUUGUAUUCAGAAUUAGUGUGUAACCGAAAAAAUUACAAAGAUGAUGCUCGGGCUUUUAUAGCCGAAAUUCAUGAUUCGUUUUUGUUCUUUUUCUUUUGUUUGCUUCCAUUUCUUUUUUUUUUUCGUUGUCCUCUUUUGCUUGCAUGUUGCAGGUGGUGGCAGAGGGCGUCAGACGCGUGAGGGAGCCUGGUGCGCAUGUGGCGGUGGCAGCGUGCUGACGUGGGAGGAGCGGUGGCACUAGGGGGCUAGGGUUUCUUUUUUUUUUCCUGAAAGUGUGUUUAGGCUAUUGGGCUUAUCGGGCCAUUAGGGUUUUUUUUAUUUGGGCUUGAUGUUUUAAAAUUGGACUUGUAAUGGACUGUAAUUUUGGACUCUUAUUUUAUUUAUUUGGUUUGGUAUUGGGCCCGGGUAAAAUUGGGCUAUUACACCUAAUAGACAAAACUUUCAUUGGCGUCGUUCUGAAUAUUUUACGCCUAAUUAUUUUACGAAGUUCUGUCAAAUCUAUGUUCUGGUUAAAACCAGUCGCACUGUAAUAUCUGGUAAAAAAAACAACACCGUUCUCGGUGUGACGAACCUCACCAUCAUAGUAAAUAACAGCACUAAUACGUUCACUCAUCUUCAAUUUCCAUCCUUCUUAGCCUCUCUAUUUUUUUUUUGCUGUAACCUAUGCAACCUGAGAAAAAAAUUUGGCUCAUUUAUAGCCUCAGGCCAAAUAGAAACUACUGUAGCAAAAGAGCGUCCAUGUGGGAGCUUCUUUCAGUACUUUUGCUGCCAUUGCAUCCUGCUUGAAGCAUUUUUGACACUAUUUGCUCAGAAACAUCUUCUCAAAAUUAUUUUUUCAGAAAUUACUGUAGCAAAAGAGCGUCCACGUGGGAGCUUCUUUCAGUACUUUUGUUGACAAUGCAUCCUACUUAAAGCGUUUUUGACACUAUUUGCUCAGAAACGUCUUCUUAAAAUUAUUUUUUAGGAACUACUGUAGCAAAAGAGCGUCCAUGUGGAAGCUUUUUUAAAUUAACAAAUAAUUUAAUUAAGUAACCCUAAACCCCAAAUCCUAAUUUAUUUUAUUUUUCCUUAAAAACUCUAAACACUAAACCCUAAUCUAAUUUUUUAAAAUUUUAUAAUUAAUUUACUCAAGUAACCCUAAACCCUAAUUUAUUUAAUUUUUUCUUAAAAACCCUAAACACUAAACCCUAAUUUGAUUUCUUUAAAAUUUAUAAUUAAUUUACUCAAGUAACCCUAAACCCUAAUUUAUUUGAUUUUUUUCCUUAAAAAUCAUAAACUAAUUUUCUAAAAUUUAUAAUUAUUUUAAUUAAAAACCCCUAAACCCUUAUUUAUUUAAUUUUUUUCCUUAAAACCGUAAAAUCUAAAAACCCCAAAAUCUUAAAACCCUAACUCUAAUUGUAGAAAACCCUAAGCCUAAAAAAUGGAGAAAACGCUUCCUCAAGGAAGCGCUUUGUGCACGUGGACACAAAGCGCACCCUCAAGGACGCGUUUUCUAUCCAUGUGGACAAAGUGUUUCCUUCAGGAAGCAUUUUCCUGCUUUAUCCCCUGACAAAACGCUGACGUGGACUCAUUUUGGAGAAAAUUGGCCCAUUCCGGUAAUUAAUUUAGGAGCUGACCCAUUUCGAUAAUUUUGAAAAUAAAGGGGCUUUUAUUGAUAAUUUUUCGGUACAAUUGUCACCCAAAAAUAUAUUAUUUUCAACAAAACUAAAGACUUUAUUUAAGAAAUAUAUUAUUUUAAAAUUGUUAGUUAAAAAACUUAAUUGAUCCAUUCUCUAAGAAAGGGUUUAAUUUCUUUUUGGAGGGGAGGAUUUAUUAAUAAGAAAGGGUUUUUUUUUAUUACAAAUUCACCCGUUCCCAAAGACUAUUUUUAAUAUAAAAAAUAAAAUGUGAAUUCAAUGAAGUCAUGUCAAGAUUUUAGAGUAAGUUUAAGUAGGCGGUGUAUUUACUUAUAUUAAGUAUAAAAUUAAAAUGACAAUAAAAUAAAAUUAGAUAUACGAUAAUAAAAGAUAAAAAGUAAACUAAACACAUCGCAUUGGACUGUUCACCCAUCCAAACGCACGCUAUAUUGGUAUCAUAGUGAAAUCUGUGUCAGGUUAACAGCCGCAUAACAGCCAUAGCUAGGUUUGGUGAUGUAAAGAAAGGAGAAUGAAUAGAAAGAGAAUAUCUGACUGUAGUAAAUGAGUCAUAGUUAGGUUUGGUGAUGUAAGGAGACGAAUAAACGAGUUAAAGAGCAAAUUGGAACACUGUUGCUGGACGAAUCCAAAUGUUCUGUGACUAUUAGAGCUUAGCUUUCCAAUUUUCUCUUUAACUUGUUUACUCAUCUCCUUACAUCACCAAACGUAACUAUGGCUCAUUUACGAAAGUCAGAUAUUCUCCUUGUACUCCUCCUUUCUUUACAUGUUAUUAUUAUAGCUCAAGAAAACGAGUCGAGCAUCAUCCAACCAGCUUCUUCACUUUAUGCCGGAAAACACCCUAGUUCAUGGCCCUCAUCUUCAGGGUAUUUCCGAUUUGGUUUCUAUCCGCAAGGCAAUGGAUAUUCGGUCGGAAUCUGGCUUGUUGGCCGGUCAGAAAACACCACUGUCUGGACCGCAAAUCGAGAUGAUCCGCCUGUCUCCUCAAAUGCUACUUUGGAAUUCACAACACAAGGCAGGUUGCUUCUUCGGACUGAGGACGGCAUGGAAAAAAUCAUUGCGAAUCUGACCAUGUCAGUAUCUGUUGAUGCAGCUUCUAUGUCGGACACCGGGAAUUUCAUGCUCUACCAGAACAGGACUGUUGUUUGGGAGAGCUUUAAUUUUCCAACGGACACAAUAUUAGGAGGCCAGAAUUUAAGCGGUUCUCAUAACAUGUUGAUUUCCAAUGUGUCAAGGUCAAACCAUUCAUCUGGGCCAUAUUUGUUGAGAAUGCAGGAUGAUGGUAACCUUGUAGCCUAUGCAAAUAAUCCUGCUGAACUUGAUCCUAGUGAUGCAUACUGGGCCACUAUGACUAAUGGUUGGUAUUUUUCUGUGUUGAAUCUCAAUGAAAGAGGCGUUCUAGCAAUGUAUUCAUCACCAAAAUUCCACCAAGAAAAAGUUUUGGCAAACCUCUCCGCAACUGGGAACGAAACAAUGAUUAUCUACAGAGCAACCCUUGAUCCUGAUGGAAAUUUCAGAUUGUACUCGCAUCAACUCGAACGCAAUACUAUCUCACACAAGUGGCAGAUUCUGAAUGAUGAAUGUGAUGCUAAAGGUCAAUGUGGGUUGAACAGCUACUGCUCCAGCAGGGGUAAGGAUACUGAGUGCUACUGCUAUCCUGGUUUCACAUUUAUCGACGAGAAUACCAAAUCCCUGGGCUGCUCUCAGAAUUUCACUAUAGAUGAGUGCGUGGCAAGGAAAGAUCUAGUGAUACAUUACAACAUCACUACCUUAGACAAUAUUGAUUGGGCUGGUGAUCCUUAUUCUGUCAAGCAAAACUUGGAAAAGGAAGACUGUAAGAAAUCUUGCCAGGAGGAUUGCUCCUGUGGCGGAGUUCUCUAUUCUAACCGAAAAUGCUGCAGCAUGUAUAUGCUACCGCUCAAAUAUGGUAAAAGACAUGGAAAUAUAACAACCACAGCCUUCAUCAAGUUGAUUCUGGGUAGCACCAUUAGCCACCCACCCGAAACAAGUCAAAUAUUGAUAAGCGAAGGAAACCAAAGCCUCAUUUUAACCAUGGGCUUAAGUUUGGGUUCCGUUGCAAGCUUGUGUUUUGUGAUUGCAAUAGGUAGCUUCUUGUUAUACAAGCACCGAGUCCAAAAUUAUGAGAAGCUUUUAGAAAAUAAAAGUUCAGGAUUAACCGAGCAGUUUACGCUACGAUCAUUCACUUUCGAUGAGCUAGAUGAAGCAACAAAUGGUUUCCAAGAUGAGUUAGGAAAAGGUUCAUUUGGAACAGUUUAUAAAGGAAUUUUGCGGGAUGGUAAAAGUAAAACUAUUGCCAUUAAAAGACUGGCGAAAGUUAACGAAGGAGAAACAGAUCAGAUUCGAACCGAGAUGACAGUCAUUGGAAGAACUAAUCACAGGAACUUAGUCCGAUUGCUUGGUUUUUGUGUGGAAGGUUCAAGGAAGCUCCUCGUUUAUGAAUACUUGGGCAAUGGCUCACUGGCAAACUUUCUGUUCAACAUGAAUAAACGCCCAGUGUGGAAAGAGAGAGCCCGAAUUGCAUUGGACGUAGCUAAAGGUAUCUUUUAUUUACAUGAAGAGUGUGAGGUGUGUAUCAUCCAUUGCAACCUCAAGCCCCAUAACAUACUCUUGGAUGAUUCAUUGACUGCAAAGAUUUCAGAUUUUGGGUUGGCAAAGCUAUUGAGGACUAAUCAAACAUGCAGUACCCCUAGGACCAAAGGGACUGCAUGGUACUCGGCACCUGAAUGGCAAAGCAGUGGAUUGGUGUCGGUAAAAGUUGAUGUAUACAGUUUCGGGGUGAUACUAUUGGAGAUCAUAUGUUGCAGAAGCAACAUAGAAGUACAAGUUUGUAGUGCAGAUGAGAUACUGCUUUCUACAUGGGUAUACAGUUGCUUUAUUGGCGGAGAAUUGAAUAAGCUUGUGGAAGGUGAAGAAGAAGUGGACAUGAAAAUGGUGGAAAGAUUUGUGAAGGUAGGGCUUUGGUGCAUUCAAGAUGAUCCCAAUUUGCGUCCAUUGAUGAAAAAUGUCAUCUUUAUGCUGGAAGGAACAAUGACUAUACCAGUCCCUCCAUCUCCAUCACUUCUGUUAUAACUUUGAUUUAGUAUUUACUUUAAUUUUGCUUUUCAUGUGAUGCAUGAUGAUGUGCUUAUUUUUCUUUUCUUUAAUGUAAUGCAAUUAUGUAAGAUAAGAGAGUUUAAUUCUAAAAAAAUAAAAUUUCAGUAGUUAAAAAAAUAAUAGUGUUAAUUUUCUUGCCUUCAAAAUCUGUAUAUAUGGGGCAGCUCUUCACCGAAAAAAAAAAUUCAUUCUUGCCUUAAAAUUUUUUUCUUUUGAUUUCAUAUUUAUUUAAAUGAAUUGAUGUCUAAUUGACUUUUAAUAAAUAAUUAAAAUGUCAUUCCUAUUAAGAAAUGCUAACAAAUAUUAUUAUGAAAUAAUUCAAUCAAAUUGUUGGUGUGUAACUAUAGAAGUAAAAUUAUAAUUAACAAAUGAUAAAAUUGAUGAUCACAUGUCCAAUCGUAUAUGAUAAAACUUAAACUUGAAUACUUAAAAAGUUUAAAUCUCUCUCCUAACCAACAAAACAAAAUUGGGGCUAAAUUAGCCAUAUAUGCUAAUUUAUUUUUUAAAUUGGCCUUUUAAGCUGGAUUUUUGAAAAAUUAGGAAAAUAAACUAUUUUUUUGGAAAGAGGAAUGAAAAAUGUGUCCAAUUGGGCGUACUUUCUACACAGUUGGCAGGAAAGUUCGCAUAACUGGUCGCACUUUCCUGUAAAUUGGAUAGAAAGUGUGUCAACUAAGCGCACUUUCCCCCAACUAGAUACUCCAACGACUUUUUGAAAGUUGGUCGAGCAACGGUAAGAAAAUUUAAAAGAGGGCAACGAUAAAAUUUUUUCACUAUAAAUACCCCCUAUUUUAUUUUUUCACUCACAUCCUAUUCCUUCAAUUCUCUUAAUUCUCUCAAAUUUCUCAAGCUUUUCUUCUAAAUUUUUUGAUAUUCUCAUUUAAAAAUCUUAGUUUUUUUUAAUUAUUCCGUAUUUUAUUUGUUCGGAUUAAAUUUUCACGAAAUAGCAACCUCCCUAAUUCAUUUCGACAACAAGCACAUUUCCGUCACUCAAGUAAUAAUGGUAAGACGAAAUUUUAAAUUUAGUUAUUUUUAAUUAAGUUAAAAUUAAUUUUUUUAAUAUUAUAUUUUUUUGUUAUUAUAAAUAGGUGGAUGAUUGUGUUUUGGAGGGGAUCAUACAUAAUUUGGUAGCGUCUCCGAUCACCUAAAUUCAUGGUUACUUGUAAAAGGUGAGAUUCUUGCAUACGUCUCGUAUACUUGGGGGUUGCAAACUUAACCCUACACUCAUCAGCAUGUUGGUGGAAAAAUGGAGGUUUGAAACACACACUUUUCAUCUUUCAUGUGACAAGUGUACAAUCAUACUCAUAUGAUCAUCCUCUUUAUUUAGCACCAAAUUGGUUUCCAUAAAAAAUUAUAAUAUCCUUUUAAGUCUUUUUAAAAUUAAUCCUAUUAGAAUUAUUGAUUUAGUCUAAAGCUGAUCAUGGGUCGGGCCGAACCGAGGCAAAAAGUCUAGGUUUGGGCUCGAUCUACCCAUAUUAAAAUCUUUUAUAUAAUUUUUAUAUAAAAAUAAAUUUAAAAAAUAUAAUACAUCAAAUACUUUAAAAAUAUUAAAAUAAUUGUUUACCAACAAAUUAAAAAUACAUUAAAAAAUAUUUAUGCUUAAAUAACACUAAGAUAUAUACAACUUCACAAGUAAAUGCCUUUAAAAAAAUAGUAAAAUUAACAAUGAAACAAAAUUUAUACAAUAUUUAAAUAUUAACAACAAAAUAGUAGUAAUAUAAUAGCGAAAUUAUAGCAAAAUAAUAAUAAAACAACAACAAUUUUUCUUAUGCAAAUUCGGGCCGAAUUGGGCCUGAGUUGAAAAACUUACCUAAGACCCGAUCCUUUUAAAAAUUUAUCAUUAUCAUUUUGUCCAAACCUAUUUUAGAAACCUUUAUUUUUACCAAAAAUUUUCCAAACUUUUUGGGUCAGUCCUAUUCGCCCUGUCUAAUUUAGCCUAUAUUCAAUUUCCUCCUUUGCGUUUGCUUUUUGUUGUUUUCUAAAAAUUCAGCCUUUCAAAUUCCAAUUAAAUAAUUUGUUGAUAUUUUUAAAUUUUUAUUAUCUUUUCGACUUCAGCCAUUUAUUAUUUCGUCAUCACUUGCAAAAUAGAAGAGAGAAACACCAUAUUUCCCAUGGCUUCGGUGUGGGCUUUUCUCUUGCUCCUUUCUUCUCUCUGCGUGAAGCAGUCAAGCAGCAUCAUUUCGCUGGGAUCUUCGCUUUCCUCGGCCACUCAAUCCAUCCCGUGGCGUUCUCCUUCUGGUCGCUUUGCAUUUGGCUUUUACAGUCAAAACGGUGGCCUUUCUGUUGGAGUUUGGUUAGACGGCAGACGAAAGAACGAUAACAAAGUUGUAUGGACAGCAAAUCGUAAUGAGCCGCCGCUCACUUCGAAUGCAACUCUGAUAUUAAAUGGCAAAGGUGUGCUUCUUUCGAUCGCUGUGAGCGGAGAAAAGAAAUUUAUUGCUAAUCCAAACAAUUCGGAUGUCAGUGUCUUCUCUGCCUCCAUGCUAGAUUCAGGCAAUUUUGUGCUCUACAACAAAGACAAUCAUACCAUUUGGGAGAGUUUCGAUAAUCCUACUGAUACCCUUUUAGGAGGUCAGACUUUAUUAACUAAUCACAAGUUGAUCUCCAGUUCAUCAGAGAAUGAUCACUCACCUGGAAGGUUUCAUCUUACCAUGCAAAGAGAUGGGAAUCUCGUUCUAUACCCUCUAGAGUUCGAAGAUUCUCCUCCAAAUGCCUAUUGGAGCACAGAUACUUUUGGGAAGAACUUGUCGCUCAGCCUUUUUCUUAACGCCACAGGCCUCCUCGAACUCAUCAACAACGAUAAUUCGUCCAUCUACGACAAAAUUAAUCGUUGCUUUUCUAAAGAGCCGACAUACAAUGACUACAACGAAAGCAGCAGCAACAACAACAGUACUGUUUUCAGUGCAAGCCUUGAUGUUGAUGGGAAUUUCCGGUUAUAUGCUCAUCUGUUUGAGCAAAAUGGUGGGUUUCACACUUAUCUACUGUUGAGGGCGGUGUUAAAUUCCUGUAAAGUUAAAGGUUUUUGUGGUUUCAACAGCUAUUGCACAUUUAAUGAUUAUCAACCCUACUGUGCAUGCCUCCCCGGGACUGAUUUUAUUGAUCCUCUUCAGAACAAGCUCGGCUGCAAGAGAAAUUAUUCUGAAGCACACUGUAAAGGAGGGAAGGCCAAUAUACCCUUUUAUAACAUGACUUCAAUGCAAGGUAUUGUAUGGACUACGGGCAUAUUUUACAGUAAAGAGCAACUGUCCAAGGAUGCGUGCAGCCGAACAUGUUUGGAAGACUGCAAUUGUGAGGCAGCACAGUUCGAGAAUGGGAUUUGCAGGAAACAAAAGCUUCCACUCAGGUAUUUGCUACGAGAUCCUGGUGCCGGAGAGAUUUCUAUAGUUUUAUUGAAGGUGGGAAUCAAAAGCCUUGAAGCAGACGACGACACUGUUCUCUCUGAAUUAAAGCUACCCAAAGUCCUAAUCAAACGGAAAAAUACGACGGUGCUACUACUUCUUUUAACUCUCAGUUUUGUUGCAUGUUCAUGUGCUUUGCUUACAAUCUCUGGUGUAUACAUUUAUAAAUUUCGAGUUCUAAGAUACAAAAGGCUGUUGGAACUUGGAAAUUUGGGCCUAACGGAAGAGCUUACGUUGACAUUGUUUUCAUACAAAGAACUAAAGAGAGCAACAAAUGGGUUUAAAGAAGAGUUGGGUAAAGGAUCCUUUGGAGCAGUCUACAAAGGGUCUUUAGACAGAGGAAGACAGUUGAUUGCUGUGAAGAGACUCGAGAAGUUAGUGGAAGAAGGUGAAAAAGAGUUCCAAGCAGAAAUGCGAGCAAUUGGUAGAGCUCACCACAAGAAUUUAGUUCGACUUUUGGGAUACUGUGUUGAGGAUUCCAAGAGACUAUUGGUGUAUGAGUACAUGGGCAAUGGCUCCCUUGCAGAUCUACUUUUCAAGUCAACAAAGCCCCCAGAUUGGGAUGAAAGAACAAGAAUAGCCCUGGAUGUUGCUAGAGGAAUCCUCUAUUUGCAUGAUGAGUGUGAGACUCCAAUCAUUCACUGUGAUAUAAAGCCGCAAAACAUAUUGAUGGAUGAUUUAUGGAGAGCUAAAAUUUCGGACUUUGGGCUGGCAAAACUGUUGAUGGGAGAUCAAACAAGGACCUUCACAGGCGUAAGGGGAACUAGAGGAUACAUGGCACCAGAGUGGCAGAAAAAUACUCCAAUAUCAGUGAAGGCUGACAUUUACAGUUACGGAGUUGUGCUGUUGGAGACUGUGUUUUGCCGACGGAACUUGGAAACCAAUGUAUCAAAACCAGAGGAGGUCAUUCUAUCAAGUAUGGUGUAUAGAUGUUUGGUUGAAAAGGAGUUGGAUAAGCUAAUGCUUGGUGAAGAAGUGGAUAAAAGAAGCUUGGAAAGAAUGGUGAUGGUGGCACUUUGGUGUAUUCAAGAUGAACCAGCUCUUCGUCCUUCCAUCAAGACUGUAGUAAUGAUGCUGGAAGGGAUCACUGAUAUAUGUAUUCCUCCAUGUCCAACUGCUUCCUUCAUCAAGUGAUGAUCCAACAAUCAAUCAUUUCACUCAAAAGUAUAUGUGUAUGUUGUCAAUAAAAUAUGUAAAAUGCUUCCUGUAGUGUCCUCCUAUAAUAGGCUUGGGUUAUGUACUGGUUUGUUAGUAUGAAUAUUCAGUUGCAUUAUUAUUACUCAAUCAUAUAUUAAUGAAAUGGUGAUUUUAAGUAUGAUCAUUAAACACGAAGUAUAAAGAAUUUACUUACAGUUACUGAUUAUCCAAUCGUAAGAAGCAGUAUUGCAGUAGCCAGUUGAUGAGUUUAUGUAAUAUGUGGAAAACUAUUACUUGCCUACAGUAGAUGAGUUUAUAUAGUAGCUCGACUUAAAUAGUACAAAAGCAAAUACAAUAUUGAUAUAUAUACUAAUGGCCACAUAUAAGGGUGGGUUUACGACCCUAACCCGGCCUAAUGUACUACCAUAAGAUAAUUGGAUAGUGACCAAUUGGACUAAUGGGUUAUUUUGUCACAUAAAAAACUUUUGAGUUGGUAGUCUCUAGUCUGGGCCUUUAUACAUAGAACAACAAUUUUCAGGCCUAAUUGAGUUUCAUUUAAGCUAGUACUCAAAGCUUGGCCUUAUAAAAUGGAAUAAAUUAUAAAUACAAUAUAUUAAUACUCAAUAGGAAAAUAUAAAUUAUUAUAUACUUUUAUAUUUAAUUAAAUAAAUGUUAAUCGUUAAAUUUUAAAAUUUAUUUUUUAUUAUUUUAAAAUAAAAUUAAUAGUUAUAAUUAAAAUAAAAUAAAAAGGGAUAAAUUAGUAAUAUAAUAAGUUAAUACUCAAUAGAAACAUUAAACUAUUAUACCCUUUUGGGUAUGGAGUGAGUUCAAAACUCGUGACCAACAUUUAUCUUCUUAAUGAGCCUACAAAAUACGAAAAAUUAAUUACUAGACUUGAUCUAAUAGAUACAAUGAGAAAUUUUAAAAAAUAAUUAUUCCAAAAUUUCAAAAUUAUUUAACUAUUUGACCCAAAUCAAUUAAUAUCCAAAAUGGAUAAAAUAAUUCAUACAGAAAAACUCAGCCCAUCAAUAGGUGUGCUCCCAACCCAGAACAAUAUAAAUCCAAAGAUAAUUCGAUCCGAAUCCGCCAAACCCACCCGUUUGGUUGAAGGAGACCCGUUCUUCUGCAUUGCUUCCUUUUGUGCUUCUGAUCUAUGGCUUUAUUCUCGAGUUGAAGGAAAAGUUAAAUGGCUCCAGCAAAGAAGGGAAAAGUCAAAACCCAGAAAGCUGAAUCAUCGCAGCCCUCUGAAAGUGACUUCAAGUUCCCAUCUUCAAUCCGCUCGGUUCCUCCUUCGUCUGUUGCCUCCUUCGUCUGUUAUUCAAUUUUUGCAUGGGAAAAAGUAAGAUGGAUGAAGAGGAGAAAAACCCAAAAGGCAAAAAUAAGAAAAAGAAAUGAAAAAGACCUAUGCGUAUGCACCCAAACGUGUUUGCCUAGGUAGUUAUGAAGAAGCAAGAGUCUGAACUGUUCUAUUUAAUGGGUUUCCCCUGUAAUUUAUAUAGUUUAUAUUUAAUAUAAUAUUUGUAUAGCUGCUUCUUUUAGAUACUGUUUUUCGCUACUUGAAUUGCUAUUCGUUGGUUAAUUUAGUUCUUUUUGAGUUGUUUCUUACUGGGUUUUUUCUUCCCCUUAUGAAUGAGCUUCUGAUUGUUAUUUAUGGCUUUUCUACUUGCAGUGAAACUAUCUGCACGGGUGUUUCAAGUUCGAAUUUUCAGUUUCCCUUAAAAGGGUUUGAUUGUUCCACUUUUAGCUUCUUCUUCUUCUUUUUUUUUUUUUGUAAAUUUUAUAAUAUGGCAUCAUCUCAUAGCAAUACUCACACUGAAGCCGCAAAAAUGGAACAAAUCAUCACUGAAUUCUUCUAUAAGAGUCUUCUAAUUAUACUUGAAUCGAGGUCUCCUUAUGUGUCAUCGCGAAAUUAUAUUGGUGAACAAAUUAUGUCAUCUCCAUCUUCGUCCCCAUCAUCUUUCUCAGGUGUGAGACCAAGAGAUAAAUGGUUCAAUUUAGGGAGUGCCCUUCAGAACUAGAAAAUUUUUAUCUUUGUCGCCAGAGUAAUUUUGAGCCGGUAGUGAUUGAUGUUAUCUUGGAGCAGAAGCCACUUGAUUGGGAUCCUGUGACCUUUUCCCCCAAACCUGAUCUUGUUAAGCAUUCUUCAUCAAAAGAUAAGAAUUCAUUUUUCUGGAAUUCUGAUCAAGAAGAAUCAGGCUGUGAGGCAAAAGGUGAGAAGGUUAUAGAAAGGUGGUUCGUGCAGCAUGAAAGUAGAAAGGGUAGGGAUUGCAGUUCAGGGAGUAGAAGGUCAAGUAGUAAUAAUUUGAGUGCAUUAUAUAAGAAAUUGUUAUUGCUGUUGAGGUCCUUAUAUGUGACCUUUAGGCUUUUACCUGCGUACAAGAUUUUUCGUGAUCUCAAUUCAUCUGGUCAAAUCCGUGCUUUUAAGCUUCUUCCUAGGGUAUCCUCUUCUGAUAAAUCUUUCACUCAGAAAGACGAGGCUGAAAUGCAGCCAUUUUGGUUCACCCCUGUGGAUACUUCUUGUGGAAGGCUUUGCCUUUCAGUUUUGUACCGUUCAUCAAUCUCAGAUACAAGCUCCCAGUCAUCAACCCCUAUGUCCCCUCAAUUUAUACCAGAUUAUGUUGGAAGCCCAUUGACAGACCCACUAAGAAGAUUUCCUUCUCUUCCUGUGUCACAGCCCAUUGACCGCCUUCAGUUUCUCUCUCACCAUCCCCAACACAUUCAGAAUCACAUGCUUUGGUUUCUAACCCAAGCUCUCGCCGUGCGUGCCGCCACCUAUGAGCUUACCUCCUCAUCCUCCUGGGGCAUCUCUACCUCAUAAGAAGAAUACAAACUUUGAUGAGUAUUGGCCUUCCCCAAAUUUUUCUGCUUCCCCUUCCCCUUCCCCAUCCCCGCCCAUCCGCAUUCCUGGGGGUCAUCUGUCAAAAGCUCUUUUACGUUCCGAAAGUGCUCAUGUUAACAUACCUGUCUGUAAGCUUGCUGGUUCCCCUGCAUUCCUGCAAGCAAAAUUUGCCACCAUCUCCUCCCCUUAAAGUUUCAAGAGCUGAUAGUUCUUGGACUGAUAAUAAUAUGGGUCCCAUGAAACCUGGCGCAACUAUCGAGAAGGUAUUUCAUAUAUGCCUCAUUGGUAUGAUUUGUGAUUCCAACCCUAUCUUGUUUUUCUCCUUGGAAUUUACUAUCGUUUUGUAUCUUAUAGCUGUUCUCUUUCGGGAAAGGAGACGGUCAGAAAUAUUCUGGAGUGAACUCACCCAGAAUUUCAUUUUUCAGAAGCUCCAGUAGGUCUAUACAAGAUGAUUUUGAUGACUCUGAGUUUCCUUGUCCAUUUGAUGUGGAGUAUGAUGAUACGGACGCUGGUAGCAGGUAAUGCACAGAACUCCUCAUAUAAAUUGUAUUUUUUAGAUUAACCCUUUUUGCAUCAUUUGUCAAUAGCUCAUACAAUUAAUUUACAUAUUUUUCUUUUUAACUUCGAAGUUAUUUUUAUCCAGAUUUCUUGAGGAUUUGACACUUAAUUAAUUGUUCUUGUGUAUUUGAAAAUGUGGCAUCAUUUUUUUUUUUUGUAUUAACAUAAUUUUCUCAGGACUUAAUUUGGUUGCUUUAACUUACCCUGGAGUAAUUUGCUAAAGGUCAUGUAAGCAAGCCAUCAUGUGUAUGGUAAGACUAAUAAUUGCCUUUUCUUUUUGAAUUUUGUCUUGAACUAGUUCUGAUCUCAUAAGACUGGAUGUUAGCAAUUGAUGUACUUUCUAGGAAACUGAAUAAUCAUUUUUAAGCAAAGAGAUUGUGCAUUAGAAACUUCAAUACCUUGCUGCUAGGAGUCUAAGUAGUGGCAUUUCUGGUUCAAGAAUCGGGAUAUAUCAGUUAUGAAGAGUUUCCAAAUAAAGUUUGUUUUCUAUUUUUGAGCAAGCCACCCUGGCUGGCAUUAAGCAUGUUCAAUACCUAGUCCAGGUAGUACCUGUAGUGAAAUAUCUGUUUCAGGGAUUGGGAUAAGUAGUGGUCUAUCAAUCUAUGGAGAGUUGCCAAUUAAACUUUGCUUUCCAGUUUUGUGAAAGAAAGUAAGAAACUUCACGGCAUUAUAAAUUUAGAUAUAUCAGGUAGUCUGCAAAAUUUGUUUUCUAGUUUUCAGAAAGACAGCCUGGCUGGUUAACUUGAAAAUGUUUAGUAGAUAUGAAGUUGGAUUGUAUAACCAUGCUGAAGUUUCUUGUGCCAGUUGAAUUUUGCAGCAAGCGGUGGUAACUGCUAAUCAUACUUCAGUUGUUUCUUGUAAUGCGCAACCAGUAUCAGUGAAUGAAUCAUAGUUGUUUUGGUAUCUUCAAUUUUAACAUAGUUAUUAACAAUGUAGAACUGCAGGAACAUGUCUUCAGGUCACGUGGUAGGAUUGGGGCCAAUUUCUGUGUAUGACUUGGCCCUUAUGUUUGAGGCAGCUGAAACAACAGCUGUCUUACUUUUUUUCUUUUGAUUGGUGAGUAAAUUAAAUUAAUAUAAAGAUGGGUGAUUAAGAGGAGGCCAAAAAACAAAGAUGGUUGAUUAAGAAUGAUUUGUUAAUGACUAAAGGAUAUGGUGGUUGCAGCAACGUUCUAUGCAUCCUUCUUGCUUGUCACUAAUUUGAUUUGUUCAGUUUCUUGAGUUACCUCUAAAACUACAACAAAAUGUAGUCGAAUGGCUUGUGUCAGUUGCAUUUGUAAUAACUCUGAUAAUCCUUUAUUAAAACAUGGAACUUUAUCAGUCUGUGUUGCUUUCCUGUAAUACCAGACACAACAAACUGCUUGAAGGAUCAAACAUCAUUUUGUCACUUUGAUUUAUUUUAUGGCAUACUCAGAUGUACACAUGAACAAAGUAUUCAUAUACUAAUUUCUACUAGUUAGCUUCGUAUUUAUAAUUAUUAUAUAGGGUUAUGUUUGGUAUUCUAAUGAUAUUUAGAUUUAGGGAAUAACUUAAAUAUUUAUUUUAGUUUCUAGGAGCUUUUGAAAUUGAGAUGUUGGGAUUAUAGAUAAUGGAGAUUUUCAUAUGUGGGCUAUCAGAGUUGGAUUUUUUUCGUCUUUAUUUCUCCCUAAGUUCAUCUAUUCCCCCUACUUCACGUUUUUGAGGUUCCAUGAAAUUACCAUGGGUGAAGAAAUCCAAAAGUUCUAAAGGUAAUUUGAACAUUUGACAUUCUCUUUACUGCAAUUGUUAGCUCAAAAUGUUCCCUCAAGAAAAUCCUUUAACCAUUGACUUAAGCAGGAUCAUUAAUCGAAAAUGAGUCAUGGAAUUCAUAUCCAAAUCCUACAGCACUUAUUUGAUCCUCCAACAUUAUAAAAAAAAAAAUAAGAAUCUAUUUUAGCCUUCCAUCUUUUUUAACAUUUGAAUUUGGGUUUUUAUCAAAUAUGUUAUCAUUUAAUUAAUUUUUUUCCGAAAUAAUAAUUAAUUUGAAAGUUGAUUAAAAAUAAUUAUUAUAAAUUUGUUUUGUUUCGUCUACCGAAUCAAGCUGGCAUUAAGAAGGAAAUGUAAAUAUAUACCUGAUGCUCAUCUCUGACACUUGCUUAAAAGGUAAAGAUUCGCAGUUAUGUUUUUAUCCAUUCUUUAAAUGUGUAAGAUCCAUUGAUAAAUGUAAAAAUCAAACUUAUAAUUAAUGAUUAAAUAUACAUUGGAUAGUAAUGAAUGAAAAAGUAAUAGAAUAAAAUCAAACCCUUAACCGAAUGCAUGUUGCAUUGAUCCCAUUUCUUUGUCAAUUAAUUUGCUUUAAUAUCCUAUAUAAACGUAUUUAAGUUCCAAAUGAAAUGUUUUUUUUUUCUUUGCACCGUGUAAUAUAUGAGCCAAAAUAUUAACAUUAUCUUUGAAAAUUCCCACCGUAAUGCCUCAAGGAUCACAAAUAUUGUCCCUAAUUGCACGUCUUGCAACUCCACUGUUUUACCUCCAUCAACGCGUGCUAUUCUUGCUCCAGCUCGGCCUCACUUCUUUCCAAAUGGGUGACACACAAUCCGUAAGUCUCCAAGGAAAUAAUGAUCACAUAUUUCUUCUUGUCUUAUUUCAUGGAAAUUACCAACGUCACUAUUGAAAAGCGUGUAGGUGGACUUGACCAAGACUUUUCUUGGCAAGUGGAGUAGAAGGCCAAAUGUGUUGGUUUCUUUCUAUUUCAUCGGAAUGAAAGCUUCCAGCCAAAGGAAUAGUUUUUUGUUUGGUAAAUUAACAUUUGGGUCAACUAAUUUUUAAAAGGUGAAUAAUGGUCAUUAACCCCUCACUAGAAUGAUGUCGUGACACAUUAACUCUUAACAAUAAUUUUAUAAAUAAUUUAAAAAAAAUUCAAAAAUUUCUUUAUAAAUCUUGAAAUUUAUAAUUUACUUUCUAAAAUUAUAAUUUUCUUUUUUAAAAUUAUAGGCAUACGAUUUUUUUAAAUCAUAAAUUUCUAAAGAGAUUUUGUACUAUACGAACAAGUCUUGUUUUCUCUUAAUGAUUGCUGUUAGUUCUCUUUAGAAGAUCUUGAUUUCAUUUAAGACAUUAAGAUGAAAUUUUGUCAAGGACAACACAGUUGUUGCCAUGCAUCCAUUUAUCUAUUAUCUAACGUAAAGCUAUCAUACUCUUGGUGGUUAAAGUAUGAAAUUUUAAAAAUUCUAAAAGUAUUUGGAAUUUAAAAAAAAUAUAUUAAAAAAUACACAUCUAAAAUGAACUUAGACAACAGGAUAUCUAGAUUCAUUUGAAUAUAUAUAUAGUUUAUCCAAGUUUAUUUUAGUAAGUUUAUAUUUUAGUCACUCAACUUCAAAAAGUUAAAAAAAUAUUGUCAUUGAACUAUUCGAAAGUUUUUAUUUAAGUCACUAGGUUGUUAAGUUUUUUUUUUUAAAUGACCGGCUAGCGAGUUUCCAAGUGACAAAUUGACGAUUGGUACGGUGGGUCAGUACCCAUUACUAAGUAUAAGAACAUACAUUAGAUUUAAGUCGAUUUGAUGAUCAAUGUUAAAUAUCAAAGAACCAAGUUGUUUAGAUUUCGGUUUGCAGAUUCGUGAUAUUCAAAGUUAUUUUAUGAAAAGAAACUAAGUUGUAAAAGAGAAGAAGAGUGAGAGCUUUCGAUUAGAGUAGACGAUUCAAAUAGAGAAGAUCAUAUAGCAACCUAAUGAGUUAAAUGAAAACUUUCGAAUAGUUCAAUGAUCAUUUUGUAACAUUUUAAAGUUGAGUGACUAAAUCAUAAAUAGAGGAAUUCCUGAUCCUAUUUGUAAAAGAAAAAAAAAUCUAUCGUUAAUUUACCAAAUAAUAAUUCUCCACCAAAAAAAAAAAAAAAAGCGGUUCCAAGUGUACCACGGAUUUAGCCUUGCAUAGGUGCGAGGACUUGACCAAGACUUCAAUGGAAUUGUUUUUAUUUUAAUCAACAAAAAUAUCGCUUUAUUUCUUUCAAUUUACAAUUUAUGAACAUGAUAAUAAAACCAAAAACUAUAACUUUCAAAUUGCAGAAAAUAAAUGACUAUGUGCUCACAACCAUUAAGGUAAUGAACAUGCUAGCAUACAUAGUGGAAGAUGAGAAAGGUCCACCUUUCUUUCUUUCCUUCCUUUUUUCUUUUUUUACAUUUUAAAAAAUAAUUAAAUCUUAGUCUUAGUCUCUAAAUUUAAUCUCUAUUUUUAAAUUUAUAACAUAUUUAGUUAGUACAUUUUUAUAAUAACAGUUAGUAUCAUUAAAACAUUUGUAAAUUUGAAUAUCCUAAAAGUCUUAUUUUAGUUAGGAUUACAUUACUUUUUUUGACAUUAUAAACUAUACUAACAUUUGAGAUUUAAUUUAUAUAUUUUAAUUUUUUGACAUAAUUUAAUUUGGUUCCUCUAUUUUUAUCCUUGAGAUCAACACUAUUUCAACAAAAAAAUCAUUUUAUAUUUCUAAAAAACAUUCUAAUCAAUAUUUCUAACCUUAUUUGUAUUACAUCAAAGAAUUUAAUAAAAGAAAUUUUAACAAUAAUAACAACUAAACUUAAAUAUUUAAAUCCGAAAAAUUAACAACUAUAUUCUUAAAAAUAAUAAACCCAGAAUUUUUUAUUCAUAAAUACCAUAGAUUUUAUAAAUUAAAAACACUUGAAUUAAAAACAACUAUAAUCUAGCUUUUUUAGUACAUCAUUUAAGCUUAUAUCAAAAUAUUUUUAUUUUUAUUUUUUAUAAUUAGUUGAAUGAUGACUUCAAACCAAUCCCGCAAAUUCUCUUCGUCCUUCUAUCAAGACUGUAGUGAUGAUGCUGGAAGGGAUCACUGAUAUAUUUAUUCCUCCAUGUCCAACUGCUUCCUUCAUCUAAUUCAAGUGAUUAUCUAAAUUGCAUAUAAAUUUUGGUUAAAUGUGACAUACAAACUUUGAAUUACAACUACAAUUAUUUAUUUCUUUAAAUAUGUAUAUUGAAUCACAAUCAUACAUUUUGACUACAAUUAAAACUUAAUGUAUAUAAUUAUACUAAAUCAAAGUUCAUGCUUCGAAUUGCACAUUGAAAAUGAAAAUGUGCAUAUUAUAUAUAUAUAUAUAUAUAUAUAUAUAUAUAUUAUAAAUUUCAAAAUGAAAAUGUACGAACCAUUUAUUUUAUUUAUGUUGGAUUCAAUUUUUAUUUUUUUGUAAAAACUAAGUGUUAAGUAUGAUUCCUAUUUUAGUCAAAUUUGAGAAAUAAUCUUCUAGUUAAACUCUGUUUAUUUGUUUCAAUCAAACACUGAUUAGUUUAGAUUAUUUUAUUAUUAUUUAACCUAUGAAUUUAGCCUAUAAAUAGACUCUUUUACAACAUUAGAAAUACACACAUUAGAUAUUAGAACCUCAUAACACAUUUAUUUGUUUACAUUUUGAGGGUUUUUUUUCGAGUUUUCGUGGUUUAAUUUUUAUCUUCAUCUUUUGUACUCUUCACUCUUUUGCCAUUAUAGUAAAAUUAUCUUUGCCUGUGAUUUUUUAUCCUCUUUUAGAGGGGUUUUUCCAUUUUAAAUUUAUUCCGCUAUUUUUUUACUUGUUGUUUAAUCGGGUCGAUCCUAACAGUAAGUAAAUUAUUUCAUUUUAACUAAUUUAUUUUUUGACAUAAUGUAUAAAAUUAAUUUACUUAUUCUUUUGAGUAAAAUGAUAAAACACAAUUUUACUUUUAAUAUAAGUGUUUUUAUGGUAAUUUAAAAAAAGAAAUCCUUCUUAAUUAUUUAUAUAUUAAUCUCGUAUAGAUUUCAUACAAACCGAUCAAUGACAAGCGUAUUACGACAAACAUUUGGAUACGUCUGAAAGUGAGAAAAAGUAAAAAUACUUUUGUUUUGAAAAAAAAGAUUUAAAAAAAAAAAAAAAGAGCUAAGCUCUAAUAGUCGGAGUACAUUUGGUUUCGUCUAGCAACAGUGUUCCCGUUUGCUCUCUAACUCGUUUGCUCGUCUCCUUACAUCACCAACCCUAACUAUGGCUCAUUUACUACAGUCAGAUAUUCUCUUUCUAUUCCUUCUCCUUUCUUUACAUGUUAUUAUUAUAGCUCAAGGAAACGAGUCGAACAUCAUCCGACCAGGUUCUUCACUUUAUGCCGGAAAACACCCUCGUUCAUGGCCCUCAUCUUCAGGGUAUUUCCAAUUUGGUUUCUAUCGCCAAGGCAAUGGAUAUGCGGUUGGAAUCUGGCUUGUUGGCCGGCCAGAAAACACCAUUGUCUGGACUGCAAAUCGAGAUGAUCCGACUGUCUCCUCAAAUGCUACUUUGGAAUUCACAACACAAGGCAGUUUGCUUCUUCGGACUGAGGACGGUGUGGAAAAAAUUGCGAAUCUGGCCGGGUCGGUAUCUGUUGAUUCAGCUUCUAUGUUGGACACCGGGAAUUUCAUGCUCUACCAGAACAGGACUGUUGUUUGGGAGAGCUUUAAUUUUCCAACGGACACAAUAUUAGGAGGCCAGAAUUUAAGCGGUUCUCAUAACCAGUUGAUUUCCAGUGUGUCAAGGUCAAACCAUUCAUCUGGGCCAUAUUUGUUGAGAAUGCAGGAUGAUGGUAACCUUGUAGCCUAUGCAAAUAAUCCUGCUGAACUUGAUCCUAGUGAUGCAUACUGGGCCACUAUGACUAAUGGUUGGUAUUUUUCUGUGUUGAAUCUCAAUGAGAGAGGCGUUCUAGCAAUGUAUUCAUCACCAAAAUUCCACCAAGAAAAAGUUUUGGCAAACCUCUCCGCAACUGGGAACGAAACAAUGAUUAUCUACAGAGCAACCCUUGAUCCUGAUGGAAAUUUCAGAUUGUACUCGCAUCAACUCGAACGCAAUACUAUCUCACACAAGUGGCAGAUUCUGAAUGAUGAAUGUGAUGCUAAAGGUCAAUGUGGGUUGAACAGCUACUGCUCCAGCAGGGGUAAGGAUACUGAGUGCUAUUGCUAUCCUGGUUUCACAUUUAUCGACGAGAAUACCAAAUCCCUGGGCUGCUCUCAGAAUUUCACAAUAGAUGGGUGCGUGGCAAGGAAAGAUCUAGUGAUACACUACAACAUCACUACCUUAGACAAUAUGUAUUGGGCUGGUGAUCCUUAUUCUGUGAAGCCUAACUUGGAGAAGGAAGACUGUAAGAAAGCUUGCC